AACUCUUUUGUUGCCAAACUGAUAGGAUAGAAACAAUGGGCAACUAAAAUUCAAAAAACCUAUAACUCCUGCUAUACUCAACUUAAAACUACAACGAACACGCGUUGGAAAAGUUUAAAAAUUGUCCACGACUUUUGCAAUAAAGUUGCACCCAAAUUUAUCUUUAUAGCCCUCAACUCUGUAUGACCUACAGCUAAACUCAGCCUGAGAUUCUGCACAUUAGAGAUUCGACUUAUAUUCGGACAACCACCUCUCCCAAUCUAUUUAACAGACAAUUACAAGAAAAUACUCAUUUAAAAGGUACUGAGAAGAACUAAAAGUUUUGCUUAAAGAGAAUUCCCAAAUUUGGGCUCUGAAACUAUCAAAACGCGGUCGAUUUAUUGGUGGUUAUAACGACACCUAACGUUUAGACACAACGGUGCGACAACUUCAGAGUAGCCUAACUCCAAUUAUAUGCAAUGAAAAUUACAAACCAAUAUUCUUUGGAAAGAUCAUGAAAUUACUAAAACUUUCAUAAUCCAACAAAGACCAAUUUAUACCGUCUUCAAUGUCUACUCUUCCGUACAAAAUUAAAGACUCAUUCUACCAGAGGCACCAACAAGGAUGUCUUAGGAAACCCAUAACUCUCAAAUGUUUAGACCAAACCGGGUGAUUAAGCAUCCUAUGGAAAGAUGAAGAAACAUACUACAAAACAUUCUAGAUAAGUGAAGCCUGAUUCAGCCUCCAACUAAUUUAAAAUGCCUCCCAAAACCAAACAACAAUACAAAACAAUAUAAAUUGAAACCCAAGGCAUUGGCAGGUGCAAUCAACACUAGGAUUUUCCACUACCAAACUGGGAUGCAACUCCCCAAAGUCUUUAAAUAAAACUCUACCAAAAUAGGUUAGCGAAUUCAACAACCUCGUUUGUUAAUGCCACUAAGGUCAAACAUCCAUGUAUCGACAAUGUAUGAAACACCUGACAUACACGUCUCAAGCACUAUAAAACAUGGUUGUUAUUACACUAGAAUCCAACUACUAGAAAUCUCCAAAACUAUUCUGUUGACGUGAAGCAAAUGGUGCUCGUGCCAUAUAACGUCUUUUUUCUCCUCUCAAAAGAGAUAAAAUGUGCAACACUCAUAAAGCAAUGGAGGGAUAACAACAAGAAAAACUAAUGUUCUUCUUGAUACAGACUCAUGCAAAAGCUUCAUAAAUAUUACUUUCAACACUAAAAUAAUAACACGAUACUAUGCUUAACAGGAGUAAUUGGACUUCAAUAAGACAAUCCACCUAACCAAACUACCUUGAUUAAACCUCACAUACAACAAUACUUCCUAUUAUUGCACUCGAACAAUUUGUACCUCGUGAUGUCAUAUGAUGAAUUCAAUGUAGUAGACAUACAUGAUCUAUCAAUCCAUCAUUCAUAUGAAAAAAAAUCUCCAUCUGAUGCAACAACCACAUCAUUAUAGAGAUAGAUGACUAACAAACAUAAGCAACUUCUAGUUAAGCAUUGACUUUGUUUAAGAUAAAGCGGUCCAAAUAAUAAUUCAACAAGCAUGCAUAGAGAACUGAUCAUAAAAAAAUAAAACUACCAUAUAUCGUCGGCGAUUAAAAAAUAUAUAAAACGGGUUGUCCAUAUCGUCCACAUGACUAGCCUCCAACAAAUAAAAAUUAUGCAUAUCCUUUUUGGCUAUAGAAACAAACCAUAGAACACUACAAGAAACUAAUAAAAGUUCGUGGGGCAAACUAAGAACGUGGGUACCGAUGUUCUUAUUUGAAUUAAGUUCAUGGGUUUGACGAAGAACGUGGGUACCCACAUUUUUAAUUUAAGUUCGUGCGGCCUGACUGAAACCGUCGAACUUAAGGUAUUAGAAACGUGGGUACCCACGUUUUUAAUUUAAGUUCGUGGGCCAGCAGGAAACCGUCGAACUUAACUAAAAAACCCAAACCCCUAACCCGCGCGGGACUCAUCUAUCUCACCCUCUCUCACACGCUGAAAUCCCCUCCACGCCGCCCCUCUCUCACAUACUCACAAGUCGCGCCGCCGGACCGCCGGACCACCGGACCCGCGCCACCCCUCCGCCACCGCGCGCACUCCUCCACCACGCUCGCCGUGCCUCCGCCAGCCACCGCACUCGCCGCGCCUCCGCCACCGCUCCUCCAGGAUUCAGAUCGCGGCCGCGGCGACUCCCCGAGCAGAAGAACCCGAUCGAACGCGGCCGCGGCGACUCCCCGAGCAGAAGAACCCGAUCGAACAUGGCUGCGACGGUGACUCCCCGAUCUCAGAUCCCUGCUGCGAGCAAAGGUAAGAUCUUUCCAAGAUCUCCGUGCUCGAUAGUUCACAUCGAUUCCCGCCAGUGGGUUCCCUCAAAUUUUUCGGUCUCUCUUCUCCCCACGGGACCAGUAGUGUUCGAUUCGAGCAGAGAUGGCGGCGACAUGGGCUGGGCUGGCUUUGUUGCUCGUCACGGCGCAGUUGGCGUCAGCAGCGCAAAUCACGGCGCCAUUGUUCCUGUGGGCGCCCAAAAACUAUGGGUGAGUAACUCGUUGCGCUUACUAUUUCCGUCAGAUCCCAUGUUUGUUAGAUACAAUGGGCGAUAUUGAUGAUCGGGGUUCCGGGUGUUCUGCUUCGCUUAAUAAGUUGAAUCCAUUGCGAAUUGGUGUACAGAGCUUUGCCACACAGAUGGGAUUUCUUAGCCUAUGUUCAACGAAUAGUUUCUUACUAUAUUGACUAUUCAGAGUUUAGGAACCCAACCUAUUUUUUACCUUUCGAGCUUGCUAUAUUCGUCGGUAACCCACGUUCUUACGGUAAGUUCGACGGCUUAUUACAUUAAGUUCGACGGUUUGUCACCCACGUUCUUUAACCAGUUUCCUGUAGUGGAAGGAAAACAUGCAUGCCUCUUCAACUAUAAUAUAGACAUAAAAUCCACUUGAAAUCACCCUAUUUAUUGUUAAAGAUAAGGUUGCACACCAUAAGAAAACCUAUCAUGUAAACAUGGUUGAACUUAUCUAUCCAUGUCAUCUUACAAAUUCACUUGAGUUCUACCAGUCUCAAGAUUUCAUAGACAGUACAACAUUGCCUUUGCUCUAUGGAGACAAACCUAUUGUACUCUAAGAUCAAGUUGGCAAGUAGCCAUAUUAGCCCAAGGGGGUGAGGCACAAAGCAUUGCAUCCAUGGAAAUAUUACAUUGAUAAGUUGGGUUGUAACCCAACAUUCAAUCAGACUCAACAACAUGAUAAAACUACAUUAUAUAGUGUUUUCACACCACACCAAGCCAGAUUAGACCCACUAUACACAAACUCAAUAAACAAUCGGUCCUACAAGUACUAGAACCCAAAAAAUCCAUUUAAAAAACAUCCACAGUCACGCAUAUAGAAAUAUAUGAUAGUAAUAGCUCAGAGAUUUGAAAAACAUCGCAUCAAAAAAACCAUCAUGACGAUAUGCAUACAAAACAAGUACAUUAGUAGUUUCACUUGCAUAAUAACUUCAAUAACAACCACAUCAAGAAACCCAUAUUAAAUAGAAGGAGCAUAUCAUAUCAAGCAUUAAGUCGUUAACGACAUAUCCCACCAAACCAUAAAGGGAUUUGGAGUAAGGGUAUUCUAGUCAUCUAUACAAUAAUACUAAUAUGAAAGAUAUACGAACCCAUACCCUUCCUAUAUGUGCAAGUGUAUCAAAUUUAUCUUCAAAUUGCGUAGAAUAUAAAGCCUAUGCUUUGAUAUCAACUGUAACAUCCUAGGAUCCACAAACACCCCGGAAUGCUACUGAACUACACUUCCGACAUCCGUAAAUAAAAUUUCGGCAGCAUCUCCUUUGCAAAAUUGCAUAAAUGAGGGGGCAACAGUGUAUAAACAUAUAUCAUGACAAAAAAACAUACUAAGUAUUAUUAAUCGGCUAGCAAAGGGAAGUUAAACAUACGACAUGAACUGAAUUAACCAGUGCACAUGACUAGUUAAAAAACAAACAUCCUUUGACAACAAGUUUCUAAUUAAAUCAUGGUUGCGCCAGGGCAGCGUUAUUAUGAGAGUGAAAGUGAACGUGCUGCUACUCCUCUCAUUCCCAACAUGUAUCAAGUACCUGCAUUGAGUAAUGCAAGAGUGAGAUGACACAUCUCAGCAAGUAAAAUAAUAACAAACUGUUUAACCAUAUAACAACAUUGUUUUACCACCACUUGAUUUCACAACCUUCUUAUUACGAAGGUGCAGCACGAAUACAACGUACAACACACCUAGUUACCACACCUCGCAGGUAGAAACCACAAUAGUAACAUAGUAAUGUCACCCUUCAUAUAUACCUCAUGAGUGCAAAUGUCUGCAAAUGCAAUGAUGACUUCUGCCUUCAUACCUCUAAGGAUAUGAAGCCGCAUCAUACCCCUCCUCGGACAACAUACGAUGCUAAAAGUGUACCGGUACGGUCGGACCAUAAGAUCAUGACAUAACUUCAAAAUGCAAGAUGGAUGAUGCGAUGUGCAUGACAUGCCUACAACACUUCAUAUAACAUGAUUCAAAAAGAUACUUCAACUUCAUCCAAGAUGGGAAUCAACCACAUAUAUCAUUCCCAAAUCAUGAUCAUCCGCAAUAUUAGACAAUUGAGAAUUAAUACUUAAGAACAAAUAAACUUCAUCAUAGAAUUCAAUGAUUAACACAUUUAAUACUUAUGCAUAUUCAAUGACAAGGCAUAGGAUGCAAACCAAACGGUAGCAACCACCACUGUAUUUACUUGCCUUCACCGGGAAUUUGGAAUGGUACUAAGUACGAUCCGGAAGUCCACCAUCUGUUUUUGACACACACCUUAGUGCACAAAUCAACAUAACAAACGCUAAUAAACAACGCCGUACCUACGCACAAUUCCAACCCGUCGCGAGCGACAACUCUCCCCAUCACCACUAAACUGCAGCGGCGCUGCUUGAUAAUUUCAUAACUUUAAAAUUAUAACAGCAGUGAUAUCAAUCAAAAACUCCAGAAUCAUUUACAUAACAUUCCCCACAAGUUUUAUAUUCAAAUGAUAAUUAAAUUCCAACGCCUAAUUAGCCCAAAACAGUCCACAAGAUAAACCUUGCAAUCUGUUUUUGGACAGUAGCAUACCUGGAUUCAAACAGCGAUAUCUCCUAAAAUAUAACUCCGAAUCGAGCGCAUAAGUACUCGUUGGAAAGGUAUGACAAAGCUCUACAUGAUUCUCUCACUGAUUCCCACUAAUUACCCACGAAAAAUCCCCAGAAACUGCUAAUACUACUGCUGUUCGCCCAUCUACAAAAUUUCUGGACAGCACCUCUACCAAUUCGCAUACGUAAACAUCUAAUCGAUUGAAUUGCAGCACAAAUAAACAAGAGUUAAUCACAAAAUCACCUUGACUUCUUCCCCUUUCCUCCCUCCUACUUCCUUCCACCAAAUUCUAAUUGGAGAUUUGCACCCACGUGACAUAGAUCAAGCAGGAGGGCUGCACCUAGGAGAGGAGAAGAUGGGGGCAGUUAGGGUUUGUGGUAUGGUGGCUACAAGAGUUUGAGGGAGGAGGAGAUGAGAGAGGGGGCUGCACAAAGGCUAGAGAGAGGGGGGCGGGUGCACAAGGGGGAGGGCAGCUAGGGUUAGGGGGGCUAGUGGGCCGGAUCGAGUUUCAUGGCCCAACUCGCUCACACGACAGCUCCCGACCCCGGCGCAUGAGUCUAACCAAAACUUCUACUGUUUUACUGGCGAAUGCUUCCCAAAAAUUCCAAACCCCUGUAGCACAGGACCCGGAAGAGAAAACGAAGAAAAAAAGAAUAAUCUUCAAUUUCUCUUCUUUUUUUGAAAAUUGGGUAUCACAAGAUGAGGGAGGUAACCCGGUUAAUCAAACUCUCUACCGUUCUAUGAUUGGUAGUUUAUUGUAUCUUACCACAUCUAGGCCCGAUAUCAUGUUUAGUGUCUGCAUGUGUGCAAGAUUUCAAUCAAAUCCUAAGAAAGCUCAUCUUCGCGCUGUUAAAAGAAUUCUUAAAUAUCUCAGGCGCACCCCAAGCGUUGGUCUGUGGUAUCCCAAAGGAGCUACUUUUGACUUAAUUGGCUAUUCCGAUUCGGAUUAUGCCGGUUGCAAAAUUGGUAGAAAAAGUACUUCUGGGGGUGCCAUUUGCUUGGGAGAUCACUAGUAUCAUGGACAUCCAAAAAGCAACAUAGUGUUGCCUUGUCAACCGCCGAAGCAGAAUACAUUGCCGCGGGUGCUUGUUGCACACAAAUUUUAUAUAUGAAACAAACUCUUCUAGACUAUGGCGUAGUUCUAGAAAAGGUAUCUUUGUUGUGUGACAAUGAGAGUUCUGUUAAAAUUGUUAAUAAUCUUGUACAACACUCUCGCACCAAGUACAUUGAUAUCCGUCAUCACUUCCUUAGAGAUCAUGUUGCUAAAGGAGACAUCAUUUUAGAAGGAGUGAGGUCGGAAGAUCAAUUAGCGGAUAUUUUCACUAAGCCACUUGAUAAAACCCGCUUUUGCAUGUUGAGGAAUGAAUUAAAUAUACUUGAUCUUAGAAAUUUUAUUUAAGAUAUCAAAAUGGUGUUGUCAAGCUUGCAUUGCAUAUUUAAAUUUCUUGUAUUACAUCUAGGGCUUGUCUAACCUAGUUGAGAUAACCGCCAACAAAGCGAGUGAAAAAGCUUAACUCGGGAUCAAACUUGACAAGUCUUAGUUGUAAGCUUUUAGUACUUAAAUUCUUACUUACUAUGCAAUUGUUGGUUCUUGAGAUAUGCAUGAGGCACUACACUUAGGGGGGGUAUUCAAAACUCAAACCUUUCAUGAAAACCCCUAGUGCAAAGCUAAGAUGCAAAUCUCACCAUUUUCCUAUUUUCUCUAAAAAUUAUCUAGCCUAUGGCAAAAUAUUUCGAAAAUUAUGAGAAAAUAUAUGAGGGUGCCAAUACCUAUCCCAACAGGUGUUCUUUUGUGUGAAUAUAAGUUGGGAUUUGGUUUGGUUGGAAACUAAAUAGAAAAUUUGAAAAUUUUCGAAUUUCCCUCUGUCUGGGCUCACCGGACAAUCUGGUGUGCACCGGACACUGCACUGUGCACUGUCCGGUGCACCGGCCGCGUGCGCGCAGAUCUCCCCUUUCCUGUGCGUUGUCCGGUGGUUCACCGGACAGCUACUGUGCGCUGUCCGAUUUGCACCGGACGGGCACUGUAGACUAUCCGGUGCGCCCAUAAUGCAUUUUAAAAAAAGGACCUGUAGCCCGAGGCCGAGCUAGAGGCCCAGUCUUACUUCUGUGCUGGCUCCCCUCUCUCCUCUCUAGGACUGGGCGUUCGGGUUUACCCGAAAUUUUGGGUCAGACUUUUUGGGUUUUUUAUAUUUCGAGUUUUCAACAGUAGAGCCUGUAUUCGUACCAGAAAUUUCGGGUACCUGCAAUUUCGAGUACCCGCAAAUUUGGGUUUGAGUUUAGGUUUGAGUUCGGGUACCCGUACUCGUAUUCAAGGACGAUUCCAAAGUCUUCGUCUCUGUCGUUGUGCACUGCCGCCUUUCCUCCGCCUGCGAGUAAUUAAAGAACAAGAGGGGGAUUUCACGGGGAUCUGCCCUGAUCUAGAUGGCUCUUUGGUCUGCCAUGCAGGGAGGGGACCGGCACGUUCGUACGGUCCAGCGAUAGUGACGACGAGCUCGAGUUGGAAUUUUGUGAUGAAAUUGGAAUGAAGUUUCGCAUAGCCAGCACUCAGCAGCAAGCUAGUAGUAUUAACAAUGCUGAUCAAGGACUAGUGAGACACUAACAAAUGGACCGAGCGAGUGACCGACGGAGGAGGAAGAAAUGAGUAGGCUAUCAACUGGGUGUGGCCCAUGGGCUGUGCCGCUGUUGGGCUAGCGGCUAGCGCUCAGCCUGGCACGUGCUGUCUAAUUUCGGGUAGAAUGGGUACUUCGGGUACCGCGGGUGAAUACCCGAUUAGGCCCAAACUUAGUUCGGGUAUUCCGUUUUGUUACCCGUUGGAGCUGUUCGGGUAACGAGUCUCGGGCUAAACGGGUAUGGGUUUGGGUAUUUUGGGUAACGAGCUUCGGGCUCGGGUUUUAUGCCUAGUCCUACUCCUCUCUGGCGUCUCCUCCUCACCACCGGCGACCCCAGCUCCUCUUCGGCGAUUCUCCGGUGACCAAGCUUCACUGUGCUCGGGCUUUGCUUCUUUCCCCUCUGGUGAGCAGCUUCUAGCUCCCUCUCCCCUUAUCUCUGGUUCAAACAGCAGUGAAGCCCCUCUUCCCCUUUGUUGCUAAAUUUCAAAUUCCUAUCAAAUCAUGUGAAUCCAAGUGCAAGAUUGAGUAGGGAUGAAAACGGACGGAAACGGACGGAAAAACCAUUCUCCUGUUUCCGUAUCCGCAUUUUAUCAUCGAAAACGGGAUCGGGUCCGGAAUAGUCGGGAAUGGAAAUGGGAGCGGGAUAAACGGAAUUGUAAAAACAAACGGAAACGGGAAUACUAACAGAAACUCAUAAUUUAAUAUAAAUAGAAAUGUUAUUGAUGUUUGACUAGUGAUUGAUUAGCAGAACAAUAACAUAAAACAAAUAGAUAUAGAGACGCAACAUUCUAUUGUUGUUUGGUUGCUAAAUGUGUACAUUUAGCUACAUCCGAUGUUGUUUAAGACUUUAGAUCACUUGUCAUUUGAAAAGAGCCGGUGGUUACAAUGGCCAAUUGUGCUAUAAUUUGUCACCUAAAUACACGAGGAUUUAGUUUAUAUACUAAUGCAUAUUAGGCUCGUCCCAUAUUUGUCAAAUAUGGAAUAAAUACGGGUUCAAUCCGAAAAAAACGGGAUCCCGCAAAAACGGAUGGAAUAAGCUCUCUCCCGUUUCCGUCCUGUUUCCAUAUUUUUCCGUAAAUACAGAAACAGUCGGGUCAAAUGUAGAAAACGGUACGGGUCGGGACAGGAUUUUUUCCAUCCGUUUUCAACCCUAAGAUUGAGUUCCUUUAUGCUCCUUGAGUACUCCUGUAGGUUCCUAGCUCCUUAGGGAGGGUUUCACCACCAAAAUGGCCAUAUCUCCAAAACCCUAAAACACCGCACGCCACGUGCUCUGUGAAAUGCCCAAACCAGCUAAAAUUGCUCUGAUUGAACCCAAACUUUUCAGGCACCUUCACAAUACCUCCAGUAACAUAUUCGCCAAAUUUCACGCCAAUCCGAUAUACCAGGCUUCAAUUUCAAACAAUUCCUCGUUUCUAGCAAUCGAUUCCGAGCCGAGUGCUCAAAUUCCAUUUUCUUCGCCUCAAAUCAAAUCAAGCGCACACUUCACUCAUAUUUACCCAUAUAAACCUAUUCAUGAAGUAUCGGCCCAAUUCCAAAUCAUUUCAUGCCUCAUUUUCAAUUUCAAACCUCCUAUGGCACUAUUUCACGUUCAAACGUCGUUUCGCGUCUGUUGGGGACUUGUUCUCAAAUGCUAAGAGUUAAGAACAAGGCAACAUAAAAAAUGUUAAAUGUUAAAGUCCUUCGUCCUUUGAAGCAUUAUCUCCCUUCGGAUAUAAUGAAUCCCGGACGAAGGUUAUGAAGGGCAAGCCUUCAUAAGCACAAUAAAUAAUGGAGAAGGAUUCAUACACAAGAUAUGAAAAAUAAUAUAAACACUUUAAACAUUGUUAUUAACUUAUUUUUAUUUGCGUUACUGUAUUAACAAUAACAAAUUACAAAUGUACCUUCGGCUCGAAGGAAAGCAAGGGUACAAGCGUGACGCGAAAGCAAAUGCCAAGUCAACGUGAACAGUACGGGGAUACUGUUCACCUAUUUAUAGGCACGGGACGCAGCCCAUGUAAAAUUACACCCAUGCCCUUUACAUUUGCUAAUGACCCUAUAGUAAUCCAUCGAGGUCUGAAUAGCCUUUUCCUUUUUAAGUUGGUUCCCUUUUCUGCUGUCAUGCCGAAGCUCUCCUGCACAUAGCUUCGGCUCUGCGCCAACCUUCGUGAUCUUUGUGCCUCUUCAUGUUGUAGUUCUGAUCCAAAUCCAAAGAUACCUGUUCAUGUAUUAUACUCCAGAAACAUUGUUAAAUCAUGUUUUUGAGGACCUUCGGAAGCCAAAGGCCCCCAACAGUAGCCCCUCUCAAUAUUAAUUUGUUAGAAUGAUAAAUUCAGAUUGCGAUAUGGACGAAGGUCCAAAAAAACACCUUCCCUUUGCUAGAAUAGCAAUAGUCAAUGACAAGUGGGGCCCUGCCACUUGCAACGUAUUGGGCGUAUAAAUAAGAACGCACCACGAGCACAUUUAGCACGCUUUCUUGCCGUCUGCUCUUGCCUUCCUAAUUUUUAGCUCUUUGCACACCAACACUUGCCUAGCUUUUUAAAUUUUUAAGCUUCGUCUUUGAGAGCACUUUCUUAGCAUUUUCGAAGAUGUCUGAAGACAAGAAAGUUGUCGCUGAGUCGAAGCUAAGCCUUUCCGAAGAGAUGAAUCUCGGCUUCCUUGAAUCAAUAGCAAAGACAAACACAGAGAAGAUUACUAAGGAGAUUUUAGAGGGCCUAUCUGAAGACAUUGGUGAUAGUGACAGUUAUGAUGUGGAAAGUGGCGGUGAAGAUUCCGGAGAUCGACCCUGGCGACCAAGGCAUGCAGUUUUUGGAAAAUCAAGCAUUAAACAAAGCCAUCUUGUCAAUAUGAGGGGUAGAUAUUUUCGGGAUUUAUCUAUUGUGAGGGCUGACAAAGGAGAGAAAACUUGUCCGACUCCUGAGGAGAAUGAAGUCGUGAUAUUCCGAAGUUUCUUUAAGGCUGGGCUUCGGUUUCCUUUGAGCAGUUUCGUGGUAGAAGUUUUGAAGAUAUUUGAAAUCUGCCUUCAUCAAAUUACUCCCAAAGCAAUCAUGAGGAUGGGAAUCUUCGUAUGGGCCGUGAAGAGCCAAGGUUUGGAGCCAAAUGCAAAAAGUUUCUGUAGCAUGCAUGAGUUAUUAUAUGAGACAAAACCCUGGGGUAAAGAGCAAUACCAUAACAAUUUUGGCUGUUACAGCUUCGGUGCCCGCUCUGGGUCAAGCUGUCUCGUGCCAACUUUUUGGAAGAGAUGGCCUGGGGACUGGAUGAAGGAAUGGUUCUAUGUGAAAAACGACUUGAAGACACGAGAAGAUAUUAAAUAUAUCAUCAUGCGCCCCAUCUGGCAGCAUUUUGGCCUUCGGAAACCGAAGGUGGAUAUUGACGAAGCAGUCGGAGAGCCUUCGGUGUAGUUUGUUCUUUCAUCAGGACGAGGGAUUUGAUCCAGGAGCAUAUUGCCUUCAGAGUAUGGCCACUUGUGGAAAAGUGGGAAAUACCAAAGGAAACCAUCAGCAAACCUUACGAAGGUGGAAUAGUUAGGCUAAAAUAUACCUUCAGAUAUGGAGAUCAGUUUGUCGAGCCAGAUGAUGAUUGGCUGAAAUGUAUUGAGGCCACAAACGAUGAACUGCUUGGACCAUAUUCAAAGGCAGAAGAUACUGCACUGUCUGCAGCCUUCGGAGGCCGGAAGAAGAAAAGGCUCAAUCGAGUAUUUGAUGCCAUUGGGUUCGCCUAUCCUGACUAUCGUUACCCAACACGGGGUCAAAAAAGGAAAGAUACAGCUUCUGUGAAGGAAGCUGCUUCAGUAGCUCUUAAUGAGCCAUUGCCGACGAGGAAAAAGAUGAAGGUUCUUACACACCAGCCAUGCUAUAUUGAACCGGCCACAGUGCCCGAGUUUGUCGGUGAAACCUCUUCGGCCACCAAAGCCAAGGAGCCGACUCCCCUGCCGAAUAUUGAAGAGCCGGUCAUAAUGCCGGAGAUGGAGAAAAUAGAAGAACCGAAGGCUAAAGAAACAAGGACAUCUGAAAUUUUAAGUCCUUCAGCAAAAGUUACAGUACCAAAAGAAAAAGGAUGGUUAAUGUACUGGAUGUAUUGGAGACAAUAAAGUCUUCAAGCACUACUCCGAAGAAAAUUGCCGAAACUCCCGAAGUGCAAAUCGAAGCCUUUGGUGCCGAAGCUUCAAAGCACCAAGCUGAGACUGAAGCUGGGCCUUCAAAGCCCACCAAGGUGAAAUCCUUGGAAACCAAAGAAACAAAAGCAGCAGAACAAAUUUUGGCUGAAGAAACUGGCACUGUCGCCCUCGAAGCAUUUUCCGAAGCUUUCAAUUAUAUUUUACGACAUGCUUCGGGGAAAGAGUUGACUGAAAAAGAAAAGCAAGAGGCUCAGUUCUAUGCCCAAAAACUGAAAUAUCCAAAGGGGGCGUUGAUAUUCAACGGUAGCGGAGAAGAAGACUUCUUGUAUUGUCUCCCUGACAGCAAGGAGAUUUCUGUCUAUCGGGAGAUGAGCAAGAGCUUCGGAUUCCCAACAUUAGAAGACGGGCUCUCGGUGUUGUCAAAAAAUGAGCUGGCCGACAGCUUGGCGUACAAUAGCUUAAAGGUGAAAAAAUGAGAUCUUUGUAUUAUUCCUUGAAACCAAAAUUUUUCGUUUGCCUGAACUUAUUAACGCAUUUUUUACAGGGCCUUAUACUUAGCAAUGCCCUCAGGGCACAAAAAGAUGCCGAAGACGAAGGGUGUACCAUAGCCUUGAGCAACCUUCGUUCCGAAGUAAUUGAACUAAGGAACGAAGGUCUCAAAAAAGAUAAAAUAUUACAUUCGCUUGUGAAUAGAAUAAAAGAAGAUGAAGCUGCUUUCAAAGCUCAAGCUGAGGCUCAGAAGCGCAAAAUUGAGGAUCUUCGGAAACAACUAGCCAGAGCUAAAGAAGAAUGCACGGUUGAAGAAGCCAAACGAGAAAUUAGUGAACAAUGGGCAAAUCAUCUAGAGAAAAAUGUUGAAGAGCUUCGUGCAUCCAAGAAAAGGUGUUAUGAAAAAUCUGUAGAAUGUGAUAAGAAAAUAAGAACCUGCUUCGCCAGCGUUGGCGCAUUCUCAAGUGAAGAAAAUUUCAUAAGGGGCAACCCCGAGGGCCCAAUUGGAUGGAUCAGCCACGAAGCUGAAGCUUUUGAAGAAGUUUUGAAUAGCCGCAGAGACAUUUGUGCCUUCUCAGGUGCUAGGGGGAUUGCCAUUGUUUUGGAGAAAAAAGGUUGCGAUCACGUGAAAUCCUUGGCACAAACCGAAGCCGACUUGUCCCCUGAAGACAUAAAAGACCCUUCAGCCGAGGCAAGUCUGGUUGGUGGAAAAUUUUUCACCGACAUCUGGGACAAUGGUGGCCGGGAGAUGGCCCAAGAAAUUAUACGAAAAAGCGAGAAAGGUAUUCAUGACGCUAGAAAAGUAGCAGAGGCCGCUGAGAAAAGUGCGGAUCUCGAAGGGCAAAUAGGUAUUGACUAGUAGUUUUUGGCUCUUUGUUGUAAUUUUUUGAUUUCGAACUUGUUUACACUUUUGUAACACAGCCGCACUUUCUCCUCCCUCAGAGCCUGCCGAGCCAUCGGCGAUCCCCCACGCGAAGGGGGACGACGAAAUUAGAAAAAUGGCCGAAGCUAUCAUGGAUAAAGUUGUUGAUCAACUACUAAACGAAGCUGCAGAAGUAGUUCUAAGGGAAGAUUAGAUGUUAUUGUAAAAAUAUUUGGAAUGUAAUAUUUGUUGAACAACAUGUGUAAUAUUUUGUAACUUUGAAUGUAAUAUAUAAGCUAUUUAUGGUUCAAUUAUUUACGAUGCAUGAAACUUUACAUACAUACCGUUUUUUGAGCCUUCGGCGAAAAAACACCUUCCCUUCUUUUCAUGCUUCGUAAAUAAUAUCUGUAUUUUCAUAAAAACAUCCAAUCGUCGUAAAAUCAGUAACCAAUAGAUCUUUUCAUUUCGGAGUUUGACGAAGGUAUGCUUCUUUGAUAAUUAUUCUUGUGCCUUGGCACUGUUUCUUCGAAACAAUCUUCGAAUAUCAACAUUGAACCCCCUUCUUGCAUCAUUGAUGCAAUAUGAUGUAUGAUGUUAUGCUAUGCAAAUGAUGUGAUGAUGUGAUGUUAUGCAAAAUGAUAUUUGCCGAAGAUCGACGUUUAUUUUUCACUUUAAGCCUCCCUUAGGAGCUUCUUCGCCUUUUACAUCAGCGGAAUCAGCGUUUAUUUUUCGUUGUAAGCCUCCCUUAGGAGCUUCUUCGCCUUUUACUUUCAGCGGCAUCAGUGUUUAUUUUUCGUUGUAAGCCUCCCUUAGGAGCUUCUUCGCCUUUUACUUUCAGCGGAAUCAGCGUUUAUUUUUCGCUGUAAGCUCUGCAUUCCCUUCGGAACGACUUUUGAGCAGAAAACUUACGCUGCGCUCCCUUAGGAACGACUUUUUGUUAUUUCUGAGAUUCUCCUUGUAGCCAUAAAUUCUUAUGCUUCGGCAACUCCGUUAUUCUAUGAAGAAGGUAUAUUUUUACUGUGGCGAAAACGAAGCUAUUACAAGAAAUUGAAAACGACAAAAAGCACUUAAGCUUUCAAUAAUUGUUCCUUAUUAAAAAGAAAAUGAUACUGAAUGUAAAAACUGCUUCCAAGGUAGGAUAUUUGUUAGUAAAUAUGAUUCGAUUCUGGCACAGUACUAUUGAUUGUGCGAGCUUCGGACUCUUCUCUGAAGUCCCGUUGGAGGUGGGUAUGCUGACUCCCUUCUGGCUGCUGGCCUCGUUGCAUUGGUGGUGGAGGUGGAGGCUGUUGCCAAGAUGCCUGAGGUUGGCUUGCCGAAGCAACAGAAGCUGCAGGGUGGUUGCCUACAUACUCUGGAAUGUAAGGCGAAUGGUACGAAGCAGUGUGCAUAACUUGCUUCAGCUGACUCUGUUGGGCUGCAGCUUCUGCUAUCUCCUUUUGUUUCUGGAUGGUAACAUGGCACAUGCUGGUGGUAUGGCCCUUGUCCUCACCACAGAAUAGGCAAUAAAUCUUCCUGGGCUGAUCCCCAAAUCUUCCUCCAAAGCCCCUGGCACCUCUGCCCCUUGGAGCUGGAGGCCGAGGAUAGCUCUGCUGCUGCCCCGAAGCCUGGGAGGAAUAUUGCGGCCUCUGCUGCUGGCUUCCCCUGUCAUCACUCUGAGUGUUAUGAAUCGAUCUGACAUGUCUAGGAUGAAUUCUUCCUCCGAAGCCCCUAGCUAUUUCGGAGAACCUGUAAGCUUCCUCCCUUCUCUGUCGAAAGUCAUUGUCAGCGCAGAUGUAUUCAUCCAUCUUCUGAAGCAGUUUUUUCAGUGUCUGAGGGGGCUUCCUGGCAAAGUAUUGGGCUGAAGGUCCCGGCCGGAGCCCCUUAAUCAUGGCCUCAAUGCCAAUUUCAUUGGGCACUGUUGGCGCUUGUGCCCUCAGGCGUAAGAACCUUCGGACAUACGCCUGAAGAUAUUCUUCGUGAUCUUGGGUGCACUGGAACAAAGCUUGAGCGGUGACUGGCUUCGUUUGAAACCCUUGGAAACUGGUGAUCAGCAUAUCCUUCAGCUUCUGCCAUGAUGUGAUUGUUCCUGGCCGAAGGGAGGAGUACCAGGUUUGUGCAACAUUCUUGACGGCCAUGACGAAAGACUUCGCCAUAACUGCAGUGUUCCGCCAUAGGAAGACAUUGUUGCUUCGUAGCUCAUCAGAAACUGCUUCGGAUCUGAAUGUCCGUCGUACAUGGGGAGUUGAGGUGGCUUGUAAUACGGAGGCCAAGGUGUAGCCUGCAGUUCUGCUGACAGAGGAGAAGCAUCAUCAAAAGCAAAAUUUCCAUGAUGGAAAUCCUCAUACCAAUCAUCCUCGUUGACAAAGCCCUCUUGAUGAAGCUCUCUGUGCUGAGGCCUUCGGUUCUGCUCAUCUUGAGCAAGAUGGCGAACUUCUUCAGAGGCUUCGUCUAUCUGCCUUUGCAGGUCAGCUAGCCUAGCCAUCUUUUCCUUCUUCCUUUGCACCUGCUGAUGGAGCAUCUCCAUAUUUCUGAUCUCUUGAUCCAAGUCGUCCUCCUGAGGCGUUGGACUGGUGGCCUUCCUCUUCUGGCUUCGGGCCUCCCGAAGAGAGAUGGUCUCCUGGUUAGGAUCCAGCGGCUGCAGAGCGGCAGCCCCUGUUGCUGAAGCUUUCUUUGGCGGCAUGACGAAGGUCUAUGCUUGCCGAAGGUGUUCAAAACUCAAAAAGUGGAAGUGAGUUCACCGGAGGUGGGCGCCAAUGUUGGGGACUUGUUCUCAAAUGCUAAGAGUUAAGAACAAGGCAACAUAAAAAAUGUUAAAUGUUAAAGUCCUUCGUCCUUCGAAGCAUUAUCUCCCUUCGGAUAUAAUGAAUCCCGGACGAAGGUUAUGAAGGGCAAGCCUUCAUAAGCACAAUAAAUAACGGAGAAGGAUUCAUACACAAGAUAUGAAAAAUAAUAUAAACACUUUAAACAUUGUUAUUAACUUAUUUUUAUUUGCGUUAUUGUAUUAACAAUAACAAAUUACAAAUGUACCUUCGGCUCGAAGGAAAGCAAGGGUACAAGCGUGACGCGAAAGCAAAUGCCAAGUCAGCGUGAACAGUACGGGGAUACUGUUCACCUAUUUAUAGGCACGGGACGCAGCCCAUGUAAAAUUACACCCAUGCCCUUUACAUUUGCUAAUGACCCUAUAGUAAUCCAUCGAGGUCGGAAUAGCCUUUUCCUUUUUAAGUCGGUUCCCUUUUCUGCUGUCAUGCCGAAGCUCUCCUGCACAUAGCUUCGGCUCUGCGCCAACCUUCGUGUUCUUUGUGCCUCUUCAUGUUGUAGUUCUGAUCCAAAUCUGAAGAUACCUGUUCAUGUAUUAUACUCCAGAAACAUUGUUAAAUCAUGUUUUUGAGGACCUUCGAAAGCCGAAGGCCCCUGUUGGGGGCCUUCGGCUUCCGAAGGUCCUCAAAAACGUGAUUUAACAAUGUUUUCUAAGUAUGCGAGCAGGUUUCUUCGGAAUCAGGAAUCAGGUUGCGGGUAUACAGAAGCAUGGUCAAGACGAAGCUUGACUGGGACGGCGAUCGUGACGAAGGAUAAGAUGAUCACGAAGCUAUAUGCAGAAGAGCUUCGGCAUCACGGCGGAAAGGGGAAACCGACUUAAAGAUGAAAAGCCAAACUAGACCUCGAAGAAUUACUAUAGGGUUAUUGAUAAAUGUAAAGGGCAUUAUUGUAAUUUUGCAUGGGCUGCGACUCGUGCCUAUAAAUAGGUGAACAGUAUCCCUGUACUGUUCACGCUGACUUGGCAUUCACUUUUACGCCACGCCUGUAUUUUCUUUCCUUCAAGCCGAAGGUACAUUUGUAAUUUAUCUUUGCAUACACAAGUUAUAUAAAUAGAAAUAUAUUAAUAAUAAUGAUGUUUAAAGAAAUUAUGCUACUUUCUAUUCUUUGUUUGAAUGUUUUUCAUCUUUUACCAUGAUCAUGAAGGUACAUCCUUCACGACCUUCAUCCUAAAUUUGUUAUAUCCGAAGGGAAAUAACGAUUUGAAGUACGAAGGGCUUUUGAUAUUUAACAUUUUAUGUUGCCUUGUUCUUGAUUCAUAGCACUUGAGAACAAGUCCCCAACAUUAGCGCCCACCUCCGGUGAACUCACUUCCAUUUUUUGAGUCUUGAACAAUUUCGGCAAGCAUCACCUUCAUCAUGCCGCCGAAAAAGCUUCAGCGACAGGGGCUGGUACUUUACAGCCGCUGGAUCCCAAUCAGGACGUCCUUUCUCUUAGAGAGGCCCGAAGCCAGAAGAGGAAGGCUGUUAGUCCAACACCUCCGGAGGAUGACCUGGAUCAGGAGAUUCAAAACCUGGAGAUCCUUCAGCAACAGGUGCAGCGCAAGAAGGAGAAGAUGGCUCGUCUAGCUGACCUUCGGAGAUAGAUAGACGAAGCUUCUGAAGAGGUUCGUCAUCUUGUUCAAGAUGAUCAGAGCCCAAGGCCUCCAUGCAGAGAGAUCCAUCAGGAAGGCUUCCACAAUGAGGACGACUGGUAUGAAGAUUUCCAUCACGGAAACUUUUCUUUCGAUGAUGAUUCUCCUCUCUCAACAGAAUUGCAGGCUACACCAUGGCCCCAGUCUUACAAGCCACCCCAGCUUCCCAUGUAUGACGGUCAUACAGACCCGAAGCAAUUCUUGAUGAGUUACGAAGCAACCAUAUCUUCGUAUGGUGGCAAUACUGCAGUCAUGGCAAAAUCUUUUGUCAUGGCCGUCAAGAGCGUCGCUCAGACCUGGUACUCUUCUCUUCGGCCAGGGACAAUCACUUCUUGGCAGAAGUUGAAGGACAUGCUGAUAACUAGCUUCCAAGGGUUUCAGACGAAGCCAGUCACUGCUCAAGCUUUAUUUCAGUGUACCCAAGACCACGAAGAAUACCUCCAAGCGUACGUCCGAAGGUUUCUGCGUCUGAGGGCACAAGCGCCAACAGUGCCCAAUGAAAUUGUCAUUGAGGCCAUGAUUAAGGGGCUUCGGCCGGGACCUUCAGCGCAGUACUUUGCCAGGAAGCCACCACAAACGUUGGAGAAGCUGCUUCAGAAGAUGGACGAAUACAUUCGAGCUGACAAUGACUUCCGCCAAAGAAGGGAGGAAGCAUUCAGGUUCUCUGAAAUGACCAGGGGCUUCGGAGGAAGAUUUCACCCGAGGCACGUUAGGUCAAUUCAUAACUCUGCUCAAACUGAUGAUCGAGGGAGUCAGCAGCAAAGGCCACAAUACUCUUCACAAGCUUCGGGCCAGUAGCAAAGUUCUUUUUGGCCGCCAGCGCCAAGGGGCAGAGGCGCCAGGGGCUUCGGGGGAAGGUUUAGAGAUCAGCCAAGAAAAAUUUAUUGCCUAUUCUGUGGUGAAGAUAAGGGCCAUACCACCAGGAUGUGUCACGUUACCAUCCAGAAGCAGAAGGAAAUAGCAGAAGCAGCUGCGCAACAAAGUCAGCCAAAGCAGGUCAUGCAUACUGCUUCGUAUCAUUCGCCUUAUAUUCCAGAAUAUGUAGGCAACCACCCUGCAGCUUCUGUUGCUUCGGCAAGCCAACCCCAAGCAUCUUGGCAGCAUCCUCCACCACCACCGCCGACGCAGCGAGGACAGCAGCCAGAAGGGAGUCAAAACAAUCACCUUCAGAGGGACUUCAGAGAGGAGUCUGAAGCUCGCACAGUCAAUAACACUGUGCCAGAGUCAAAGCACAUUUAUUGAUAAAUAUCCUAUCUCAACAGCAAUUUUUUCGCAUUUUUACAUUCAGUACUACCUUUUUGUCAAUAAGGAACAAUUAUGAGAAGUUUAUGUGUUUUUUAUCCUUUUUCAAUUUCUUGUAACACUUUCUCCUUUUUACCAUAAUAAAAAUAUGUCCUUUCCGUAGGCUUGAGUUGCCGAAGCAUACGACUUUAUGGUGGCAUGAAGGACCUUUGUAUUAUCAAAAAUUUGUUUUAACAGACACAGUGCAACUUCUGCAAAACACUGAAAAGUCGUUUCUAAUGGAGCGCAGUGUAAGUUUUCUGAAUCUACAGCGAAAAAUAAACGCUAAUUCCGCUGAAAGUAAAAGGCGAAGAAGCUCCUAAGGGAGGCUUACAGCGAAAAAUAAACGCUGAUUCCGCUGAAAGUAAAAGGCGAAGAAGCUCCUAAGGGAGGCUUACAGCGAAAAAUAAACGCUGAUUCCGCUGAAAGUAAAAGGCGAAGAAGCUCCUAAGGGAGGCUUACAGCGAAAAGUCAGCGCUGAUAUAUAAAAGUAUGUGUGCUCUAUUACAGGGAUUUAUAUCCGUGGCGCAAAUAUCAUUUUGCAUGACAUAACAUCAUCACGUCAUUUUUGCACAACAUAAGCAUCAUACAACAUAUUGCAUGUGGAACAAGAAGGGGAUACAGUGUUGAUCUUCGGAGAAUAUCUUGGAAAAGAGAAAAUUGUGCUAAGGCACAAGAUAAAUCGAGACGCAACACAAAACUUUUUUAUACCUUCGGAGAAUAUUUCACGAAGCUUGGAUAUUCUUCAUCAGAGAAGUAAGCAAAUUCUUGUGAUAUAGAAAAGAUUUUCUUCACGAAGCAUGAAAAGAAGGGAAGGUGUUUUUUCGCCGAAGGCUCAAAAAAUGGUAUGUAUGCAAAAUUUCAUGCAUCGUAAAGAAUUAAACUAUAGAUUAUAUAUUACAUUCAAAGUUACAAUAUAUUACACAUGUUACAUUCCAAAUGUUUCUACAGUAACAUUCAAUCCUCCUUAAGCACUAUUUCUGCAGCUUCAUUCAAUAGUUGGUCGACAACCUUGUCCAUAAUGGCUUCGGCCAUUUUUCUAAUUUCAUCGUCCCCCUUCGGGUGGGGGCCCGGAGAUGCCUCAGCAGGUUCUGAGGGAAGAGAAGAUACGGCUAUAUUACUAUUACAAACCGCGAACAAAGUCUCGAAUUAAAAAUUACAGCAUAAUAAAAACCACUAAUUAAUACCUAUUUGCCCUUCGGGCUCUGUACUUUUCUCCGCAGCUUCUGCUACUUUUCUGGCAUCGUGGAUGCCUUUUUCACUCUUUUGAAUAAUUUCUCGCGUCAUUUCUCGGCCGCCGUUGUCCCAGAUAUCGGUGAAGAAUUUUCCGCCGACCAUGCUUGCUUCGGCUGAGGGGUCUUUAAUAUCUUCAGAGGACAAGGUAGCUUCGGUCUGCGCUAAGGAUUUUACAUGCUCGCAGCCUUUCCUCUCCAAAACAGCAGCAAUCCCUCUAGCACCCGAAAAAGCGCAGAUGUCACCGCGGCUGUUCAGGAUUUCCUCGAAGGCCUCUGCUUCGUGACUGAUUCAUUCCAUUGGACCUUCAGGAUUGCCUUCUCUUCACUAGAGAAUGCGCCAACGCUGGCGAAGCUGGAUUUUAUCUUCUUAACGCACUCUAUGGAUUUAACAUAGCAUUUUCUCUGGGAUGCACGAAGCUCCUUAACACUUAUCUCUAAAUGAUUGGCCAAUUGAUCACUAAGCUCUCGUUUUGUUUCUUCAAGUAUACGUUCUUCUUUAGCUCUAGCUAGCUAUUUCUGAAGAUCUUUAAUUUCACGUUUUUGGGCCUCGGCCUGGGCCUUUGAGGCAGCUUCGUCCUUUUUUACCUUGUCUACCAAUGUAAGCAGAAUUUUAUCCUUUUCCAGAGCCUCGUUUCUCAGUUUAAUAACUUCUGAUCAUAGGUUGUUGAACGCAAUUUCAUAGCUUUCGUCUUCGGCAUUCUUUUGUGCUCUCAAUGCGUUGCUUAGAAUUAAACCCUAUAUGUAAAAGAGUUGGUAUAAGAAUAAAAGAAUGAGUUGUGAAUUAUAAAAUUUCCAAACGCCCAAUUCCCAUACCUUCAGGCUAUUGUAUGCAAGACUAUCCGCAAGAUCGUCCUUCGUCAUAGCACAUAAUCCAGCUUCAAGCUUUGGAAAUCCCAUACUUCUAGCCAUCUCCCGACAGACGGAUAAUUCUUUGUUGUCUGGGAGGCAGUAUAGGAAAUCUUCUUCGUUCGUCCCAUUGAACACUAGUGCCCCCUUCGGAUAUUUCAAUUCUUUGGCAUAGUGAUUAGCUUCAAAAACUUCUUCUUCCGAUAACUUUUUCCCCGAAGCAUGUCGCACGAUAUAGUCAUAUAUUUUGGAAGAUGCUUUGGGGGCGGCGGUAUCAAUUUCUUCGACCAAAGUUGGCUCUGACAUUUUCAUUUCUUCGGUUGCCUUUGCAAUUUUUGCUUCUUCUGCUUCAAAAGGUAUUACCUUGGUUGGUUCUGAAGGUCCGGUUUCAACUCCAGUCUGUUGCUUCGGAGCUUCAGCAACGCACACUUCAGCAAGCGCCUCAGAAGUUUCAGCAGUCUUCUUUGGGGUUGUGCUUGGAAGUUUAAUUGUUUCCAAAACAUCUAACACAUUAACCAUUCUUUUCCUUUUUGGGGUCACUGUUGGCCCCUUUUUAAUUUUUCAUGCUUCAAUUUCUUCUGAAGGACUUAAAAUUUCUGAUACCUUCACUCCCUCAGUUGAUGCUUUCGCUUCUUCCGUCUUUGGUUCUUCCAUCUUUUCUGUCGCUGGCACUUCGGCCAUUUCUGUGACUUCUGCCAGCAGGGUUGGCUCUUCAGCCUCGGUGGCCGAAGAGGUCUCACCGGUGAACUCAGGCACCGUGGCUGGUUCAAUAUAGCGUGGCCGGUGUGUGAGAACUUUUACCCUUUUUCUCUUCGGCGCUGGCUCGCUAGGAGCAGCUGCAGCUGUUUCUUUCGUAGAAGUUGUGCCUUUUCUUUUUUGCCCCCGUACUGGAUAGCGAUAGUCGGGGUAGACGAACCCGACUGCAUCAAACACUCGGUUGAGUCUUUUCCUUUUUCGGCCUCCGAAGGCCGCUGACAAUGCAGUGUCUUCGGCCUUCGAAUAUACCCCAAGCAAUUCAUCACUUACAGUCUCAAUGCUCUUUAACCAAUCAUCAUCUGGUUCAACGAACUUGUCUCUGUACUUAAAUGUAUACUUCAGCCUGACUAGCCCACCUUCGUCAGUUUCUUUAACAGUUUCUUUCGGCAUUUCCCAAUUAUCUGCAAGAGGCCACACUCUGAAGGCAAUGUGUUCUUGUAUUAAAUCCCUUGUCCCAAUAAAAGAGCAAACUACGCCGAAGGCCCGUUGGCAUUCUUCGGCUACUUCAUCCAUUUCUACCUUCGGUUUUCGGAGUCCGAAGCGCUGCCAGAUGGGGCACAUGAUGACAUCCUUAAUAUCUUCACGAACCUUCAAAUCAUUUUUUACAUAGAACCAUUCUUUCAUCCAUUCUCCGGGCCAUCUCUUCCGAAAGGUGGGCACGGGACAACUUGAUCCAGAGCGAGCACCGAAGUUGUAGCAACCAAAGUUGUUAUGAUAUUGCUCUUUACCCCAGGGCUUCGUUUCGUAUAACAAUUCAUGUAUAUUGCAAAAGCUUUUCGCACUUGGCUCUAGGCCCUGACUCUUCACAGCCCAGACGAAGAUUCCCAUUCUUAUUAUUGCUUCAGGGGUAAGUUGAUGAAGGUAAACCUGAUAUAUUUUCAGGACUUCUACCACAAACCUGCUUAUAGGGAAUCGUAGCCCAACUUUUAAAAAGCUUCGGAAGAUAACGACUUCAUCAUCUUCGGGAGUCGGCACAGUUCUUUCUCCGGCAUCUGCUCUCACAAUGGACAUAUCUCGAAAAUAUCUCCCCCUCAUGUUUUCAAGGUGACUUUGCCCAAUAGUUGAUUUUCCGAAGACUGAAUGGCUUGGUCGCCAUGGUCGAUCUUCGGAAUCUUCACCCCCACUGUCUACAUCAUAACUGUCACUAUCACCAGUGUCUUCAGAUAAACCUUCUAAAAUCUCCCUUGUAAUCUUCUCCGUAUUCAUCUUUGCUAUUGACUCAAGAAAACCCAGAUGCAUCUCUUCAGAAAGACUCAGCUUCAUUUCGGCAGCAACCUUCUUCUCCUCAGACAUCCCUUCGGAAUUCUUGCCUCUCGCUUUCGAAGCUUAAAACUAGGGAGGCAACCAAAUAUUUGUGGGCAGAAAACUAUUUGAGCAGGCAAAACAGAUGGCAAGAGAGCGUGCCAAAUAAAUUGUGGCGAGUCCCUAUUUAUACACCCAUUAUGUCGAAAACUGGAGGGUCCCGCUUGUCAAAGACUGUUGCUAUUCUAGCAAAGGGAAGGUGUUUUUUCGGACCUUCGGCUCAAAGCCUUCGUCCAUGUCACAAUAUAAAUUUAUCAUUCCAGCAAAUUAAUAUUGCGAGGGGCUACUGUUGGGGGCCUUCGGCUUCCGGAGGUCCUCAAAAACGUGAUUUAACAAUGUUUUCUAAGUAUGCGAGCAGGUAUCUUCGGAAUCAGGAAUCAGGUUGCGGGUAUACAGAAGCAUGGUCAAGACGAAGCUUGACUGGGACGGCGAUCGUGACGAAGGAUAAGAUGAUCACGAAGCUAUAUGCAGAAGAGCUUAGGCAUCACGGCGGAAAGGGGAAACCGACUUAAAGAUGAAAAGCCAAACUAGACCUCGAAGAAUUACUAUAGGGUUAUUGAUAAAUGUAAAGGGCAUUAUUGUAAUUUUGCAUGGGCUGCGACCCGUGCCUAUAAAUAGGUGAACAGUAUCCCUGUACUGUUCACGCUGACUUGGCAUUCACUUUUACGCCACGCCUGUAUUUUCUUUCCUUCAAGCCGAAGGUACAUUUGUAAUUUAUCUUUGCAUACACAAUUUAUAUAAAUAGAAGUAUAUUAAUAAUAAUGAUGUUUAAAGAAAUUAUGCUACUUUCUAUUCUUUGUUUGAAUGUUUUUCAUCUUUUACCAUGAUCAUGAAGGUACAUCCUUCACGACCUUCAUCCUAAAUUCGUUAUAUCCGAAGGGAAAUAACGAUUUGAAGGACGAAGGGCUUUUGAUAUUUAACAUUUUAUGUUGCCUUGUUCUUGAUUCAUAGCACUUGAGAACAAGUCCCCAACAGCCCCCAACAGCGUCGUUUGACCUCUCGAUCGCCAUAUCUCUCGAUUUCUGUGCCAUAAUUCUCUGUGUAUGUAUUUAUUCACAUUUCAUAUACUUAUGACUAUGUGACUAAUACGUGCUCACCUCUUCUGUCAUUUCAGUGACCUUGCCUGCCCGUGAGCCGUCUCAUGUCCUGCCUGGAUUCUCUCCCUCUUGUGUGAGAUUUCCAGGUAGCUAUUCGUUCUUUUGUCAUCCUAUCGGCUAUUAUCGACUUGUGCUUAGCUUCUCUCUCUCAUUUGCAGUCGUCAGGUCAGGAUGCCACGCACGAAGAAUGUGUCGGCGCCAGGGGGAGGAGAUGACGAGGACCCUCCUCGACCCUUUAGGAAGGUCAAUGGGAAGACUGUUUAUUUGGAGCAGCAGGAAGGCCGCAAGAAGCGGCGUUUGGAUAGAACAGCCCGAGCGGCUCUAGCAGCAAGAACAUCCGCUGAGCAGGCUAAGAGAGGAGAUUAGGUACAGAUUCCUUCCGAUCAGAUUGCUUACCGAGUUCGUCGCCUCGCCUCUCGGCCUCGCUCCUCCGCACCAACCACUCCCACCACUGCUACCACUCCACCACCCACUUCACCUGCUCCCAUCACUCAUGCGCCAUCCACCACCUCAGCCAUACCUACCACCUCCACUACUCCAGCUUCCACUGCUCCUCCUCCCGCUCCCCUUUCCGCUCCACCUAUCCCACCUGCCCGCUUCCGGGAGCGAGAUGAGACUGAGGUGCGACCACUAGUUGCGGAUCCCAGGUUGUUUGAUCUUCAGCGUGCUACAGCGGCACGGGUACGUCGGUUCAGACACGUACCCAUGGAGACUUGGCUACUGGCUCAGAGGGACCCUGCUGCAGUCGAUCUCUUCAGUACCCAGAUACAGGAGUCCUUCUUUCGAGCUGAGAUGUCUGCACAGAUUGCUCUACAAGUGCACCGGCUUUUGGACCUUCCUGCAUUUCUGCUAGCCGUCGAUGCUGCCUCUAAGGUACACCUCUCCUAUCUGCCUGGACUUCUCACUCUCUUGACUACCAGCGGCAGAUAUGUUGAGGAAUGGGUCCGAGUUUUCUAUGCUUCUGUAUGGAUCGACCCUGAUCACCAGUGGAUGAGAUUCCGCUUUGAGCGCGAGGAUGUUACAAUUCAUGCCAGCCAGAUUCGCCAGUUGUUUGGAUUCAACGAGUCAUCAACUCGUCUUCACAGCUUGUGCUACGGCACCUCUGAUCCUCCUCGUCGACCUCACGGCGGAGUUGCUCCUGGUACAGCUCACGUCGCGGCUUUGUUCCGACCGCCCUUCUCAGAUGGGUCACGAUGUUCUCUGGCAGACUUCACCACAGCGGCCAAGAUUUUAUAUCAGCUCAUGAGACGGACGCUUCUGCCACAGAUGGGUUACAGGGAGGCUGCUACUCAUAUCCAACUCUGGCUACUUGGUGCCAUGGUCUCUCACUCAGAGUUUGAUGUUGUGGACUUUCUUAUUUGUGAGAUUGAGGACACCGUACUGGAUGGUAUGCGUGCCCAGCGACAGCUGCCAUAUGCUCACUAUCUCUGCCACAUCUUCGCUCAGCUAAUUCGGCCACCACAGUUCUAGGGAACUCUUGAGGCCUCUCGCCUCCUCUUUGGGUCCUACCGUCCAGCCCCUGAGGAUCCUGUGUCGGCACCUUCUCAAGUGAUUGACACUCAGGCCGAGGAUACCGCUUUUCACCAGUUUGAGACUCAGGGCGCAACAGUCCCUGACGAUGAUGAUGAUGAUGACUUUGGGGUUCCGCCUCUGCCUCCACGCACUCAUGAUUAUGAGGCUAGGAGUUCCAGUGCUGCCCCUGCUAGCCCGCCUGCCAUUGGCCCUGCUCUUGCUGUGAUCCUCCAGACCCUUACUCAGCAGCAGGCUCACUUGGCCGCAGUCUAGCAGUAGAUGUUCGAGAGAAUGCUAUCGAUGUUUCAGACUAUUCAGGACAGACAGGAUACUCUACAGCAGCAGCUUCUGGCAGACCGCCAAGUAAGAAGUGUAGAACAAUUAGCUCAUAAGGACCGCCAUUGUAUAACCAUUCAUCAACAGAUGCAGCUUCCCAAAUUGGGUAAAAAUGCAAUCCGAUCGCCGCAGAAGUAGGAAUAAUAGCACCAGAGAUAAUAUUGUUUCCAUAAAGUAAAGAACCAGAAACAGGCUCACGAAUACCAUCAAUAUCUACUGGAGGAGCAGCGAUGAAGGCGAUAAUAUAUACGGAAGUUGUGGUCAAUAAGGUAGGGAUCAUCAAAACACCAAACCAUCCAAUGUAAAGACGGUUUUCGGUGCUAGUUAUCUAGUUGCAGAAGCGACCCCACAGGCUUGUACUUUCGCGUCUCUCUAAAAUUGCAGUCAUGGUAAGGUCUUGGUUUAUUCAAAUUGCAAGGACUGGGCUGAGAACAGGGCCUUCAUGACUCUCAUGCUUUAGCAUACCGGUGUUCCAAUUCCCCUAGUUCAAUCAGCACCGCCUCCACCUCUUCAGGCUAUUGUUGUGCCAGCCAUUCAGGCAGGACCUCCUCUUCCUACAGUUGGUCCUUCUUCCUCUCCGCUCCGACCAAUCACCCUGGUUUUCUCGUCGUCGGUCAUCAGCUUCGUCAGCACUCAGCCGCCAGUGCCCCCAGCUCCUGCUGUUACCACUACUGUUGUGGCGGUAUCUGUGACCUCUUCAGCUCCGGCAGCUCCUGCAGCAUAGCCUCCGUCCGAGUCAGUACCAGCUCCAGCUUCUAUGGCAGAUCCUGGAUCUGAGACUGACUCUGACCCGCAGCUGGCAUUCGCUCUUCUGCCACGACCACGACCGGAUGCGCCCCCGCCACCUCCUUCCUCUUCUGGUGUGUAGGUUUGAGUUCCCUUUUGGUGUUUGACGCCAAAGGGGGAGAGAUAUGUGAGUUGUGAGAGCUAGGGGAGUUAGGGAGUUAGUAGAGAGUCAUUUUGAUUUAAUAUAUGUGCUCGUUACUCUCUGUACUAGCUCCACUUUUGUAUGAUGAUUUUGGCUCACAAACUCUAUUAUAUACUCUCAAUGCUUAGGUUGACUACGUGUGCAUUAUGUUUUCACAUUAUAUGUUAUCACCAGUCUUCUAGUUCUUGUUCAUCGAUUUGAUUUCACUUUUAUAUGAACAAAACUUACGAUGUGUAUGCGCUCAUUCCUAUUACUAUGUUACACACUCUUUCUGUCAAAGACUAUUGAGUACAACUAACCAUCUUUUCUAUUGACAGAAAUUUCAAAAACAAACUACUCUCACAAACCUUGUAGGGUUAUCAUCAAUCACCAAAAAGAGGGAGAUUGAAAGCAUCUAGGCCCCUCACUACAGGAAACGCAUAAAUUUUCAUGGGCCAAAAACCCACGAAAAUAAGGGUAAACCGACGAAAAAAGUCUAUUUUUGUCGGCAUGCCGACGAAAAUAGCCGCCGAAAAUAAAUUCGACGAAAAUGCACAACUAGGCUUAAGCCAGCUUCGAGCUUCGGAAACCCCAUGCUUCUAGACAUCUCCCGGCAGACGGACAAUUCUUUAUUGUCUGGGAGGCAGUAUAGGAAAUCCUCUUCGUCCGUCCCAUUGAAUACUAGUGCCCCCUUCGGAUAUUUUAAUUCUUUGGCAUAGUGGUUAGCUUCAAAAACUUCUUCUUCCGAUAACUUUUUCCCUGAAGCAUGACGCACAAUAUAAUCGUAUAUUUUGGAAGAUGCUUCGGGGACAGCAGUAUCAAUUUCUUCGACCAAAAUAGGCUCUAACAUUUUUAUUUCUUUAGUCGCCUUUUCAAUUCUUGCUUCUUCUGCUUCCAAAGGUAUUACCUUGGUUGGUUCUGAAGGCUCAGUUUCAACUACAGUCUGUUGCUUUGGAGCCUUAGCAACGGAUACUUCCACAGGCGCCUCUGAAGUUUCAGCAGUCUUCUUUGGAGUUGUGCUUGGAAGUUUAAUUGUCUCCAAAACAUCCAACACAUUGACCAUUCUUUUUUCUUUUUGGGGUCACUGUUGGCCCCUUUUUUCUUGCUACUUCAAUUUCUACUGAAGGACUUAAAAUUUCUGAUAUUUUUGCUCCCUCAGUUGAUGCUUUUGCUUCUUCCAUCUUUUCUGUCGAUGGUGCUUCACCAUCUCUUUGGUUUCUGGUAACAGAAUCUUUGGUUCAUCCAAUUCCUUUGUUGUUGGCGCUUCGGCCAUUCCUGCGACUUCUGGCAGCAGGGUUGGCUCUUCAGCCUCGGUGGCCGGAGAAGUCUCUCCGGUGAAUUCAGGCACCGUGGCUGGUUCAAUAUAGCAUGGCCGAUGUGUGAGAACUUUUAUCCUCUUUCUCUUCGGUGCUGGCUCACUAGGAGCAGCUGCAGCUUUUUCUUUCGCAGAAGUUGUGCCUUUUCUUUUUUGCCCUCGUAUUGGAUAGCGAUAGUCGGGGUAGACGAACCCGAUUGCAUCAAAUACCCGGUUGAGUCUUUUCCUUUUUCGGCCUCCGAAGGCCGCUUACAAAGCAGUAUCUUCGGCCUUCGAGUAUGCCCCAAGCAAUUCAUCACUUACAGUCUCAAUGCUCUUUAACCAAUCAUCAUCUGGUUCAACGAAUUUGUCUCCAUACUUGAAUGUGUACCUUAGCCGGACUAGCCAACCUUCGUCAGUUUCUUUAAUAGUUUCUUUCGGCAUUUCCCAAUUAUCCGCAAGAGGCCACACUCUGAAGGCAAUAUGUUCUUGUGUUAAAUCCCUCGUCCCAAUAAAAGAGCAAACAACUCCGAAGGCUCUCUGGCAUUCUUCGGCUGCUUCAUUCAUUUCCACCUUCGGCCUUCGCAGGCUGAAGCGUUGCCAGAUGGGAUGCAUAAUGAUCUUCUUUACAUCUUCUCGAGAUUUCAAGUCAUUUUUCACGUAAAACCAUUCCGUCAUCCAGUCGCCAGGCCACCUCUUGCGAAAGGUCGGCACUGGGCAGCUUGACCCAGAACGAGAGCCGAAGCUAUAACAGCCAAAGUUGUUGUGAUAUUGUUCCUUACCCCAGGGUUUUGUCUCGUAUAACAAUUCGUGUAUAUUGUAGAAGCUCUUUGCAUCAGGUUCCAAGCCUUGGCUCCUCACAGCCCACACGAAAAUAUUCAUCCUUAUGAUCGCUUCGGGGAUAAGUUGGUGAAGGUGGAUUUCAAAUAUCUUCAGCACCUCCACAACAAAACGGCUCAGGGGAAAUCGUAGUCCAGCUUUCAAGAAGCUUCGAAAUACUACAACUUCAUUUUCCUCAGGAGUUGGGCAAGUCUUCUCUCCCUCGUCGGCCCUUACAAUAGACAAAUCCCGGAAAUAUCUUCCCCUCAUGUUGGCAAGAUGACUUUCUUUAAUACUUGAUUUGCCGAAAACCGCAUGGCUUCGUCGCCAAGGUCGAUCUUCGGAGUCUUCGCCACCACUAUCCGCAUCAUAGCUGUCGCUAUCACCAGUAUCUUCAGAUAAACCUUCCAAAAUUUCUUUAGUGAUCUUCUCUGUAUUAGUCUUCGACAUAGAUUGAAGAAAACCCAGAUGCAUCUCUUCAGAAAGACUCAGCUUCAUUUCGGCAACAACCUUCUUCUCCUCAGACAUCUCUUCGGAAUUCUUGCCUCUCGCUUCCGAAGCUUAAUACUAGGGAGGCAACAAAAUAUUUGUGGCCAGAAAAUUAUUUGAGCAGGCAAAACAGAUGGCAAGGGAGCGUGCCGAAUAAAUUGUGGCGAGCCCGUAUUUACAAACCCAUUAUGUCGGAGACUGGAGGGCCCCAUUUGCCAAUGACUGUUGCUAUUCUAGCAAAAGGAAGGUGUUUUUUCGGACCUUCGGCUUAUAGCCUUCGUCCAUUUCGCAAUCUGAAUUCAUCAUUCUGACAAAUUAAUAUUGCGAGGGGCUACUGUUGGGGGCCUUCGGCUUCCGAAGGUCCUCAAAAACAUGUUUUAACAAUGUUUCUGGAGUAAAGUAUGUUAACAGGUACCUUCGGAUUCGGAUCAGAGCCACGGUACGAAGAAGCACAAAGGUUGGCGCAGAGCCGAAGCUGUGUGUAGAAGAGCUUCGGAGUAGCGGUGGAAAAGGAAACCGACUUAAAGAUGAAAAACCAGAUUAGACCUCGAAGAGUUAUCAUAGAGUUAUUGAUAAAUGUAAAGGGCAUUAUUGUAAUUUUCCAUGGGCUGCGACCCGUGCCUAUAAAUAGGUGAACAGUAUCCCCGUACUGUUCACGCUGAUUCGACAUUGGCUUUGGCAUCACACUUGUGCUUCUACCUUCUUUACGAGCUGAAGGUACACUUAUAAUUUAAUAUUAUCUUUAUCUUUCCAUCAUAAUAAAAUGGAAAUGAUUCGACAACAUUAAACAACUGUUUAUGUUAUCUUCAUGUUUCAUAUGAUCCUUUCUUCAUUAUUAUAUUUUAUGCUGAUGAAGGUAUGUCCUUCAUAACCUUCGCCCGAAAAUCAUUAUAUCCUUAAGGAAAUAAUGCUUAGAAGGACGAAGGAUAUUAAUAUUUAACAUUUUGUGUUGCCUUGUUCUUGAUCCAUAGCAUUUGAGAACAAGUCACCAACAAAUACAGAAUUCACAAACCACAUCCACAAUCAAUACCAUAAUUGUUUCAAACCACAAUCACAUCCAUAAUAAAGUCCAUACAUAGUCCAUAGACAAACUCACUCAUGGCAAGUCUCACUCCUGCGGGCUGUGGGAGUUUUGGCCACUCCCUCCUCCGCCACCAGGAAGGUGGCCACUCCCUCCGGAACCAUGGACGAGGUAGUCUUGGACGUUGACAGCACCCUCCGAUCCCUGAGCAUGUGACACUGAACCCUGCAAUUCAUCAAUCAUUCAAAUAAGGUUGUGUUUUGCUAUCCAUAUACCUAUACAUUGCUAUGUUUGGUCACUAUUUGCAUAAAACUAAACAUGGAACGUCACCUGUGAUCCAUUGUGCUGAGGAGGCUGUGCAUGCAUCCAUGGGUAAUGUUGUGCUGGCCACCCCUGGGGUGGUGGCACCCACCCCGGCGGUGGCGGUGCCAUCCACGCUUGAAGUGGCUGAGAGCCCGGCAGUGGCUGGGAGACCGGUGGCACCCAUCCCGGGGUUGGCUGCGAUCCCUGGGGUGGUGGAGCCGUCCAAGUGCCUGGAGGUGCCUGCGUCCACCCAACACCGGUCCACAGUGGCUGCGACGCUGGAGCUAGCUGAGAUCCCUGGAGUGGUGGCGUAAAUGGCUGCAACUCUGGAGCUUGUCCUGGCCACUGUCCCCAUCCUUGUGCCUGCGAGCCAUUUUUUAUAAUAAAAAAGAGUUGCUAUGGAAUUGAAGUGUUCAGAUAGUGUUACCUGGGGAGGGCAAAAAGCGGGCAAGUUCAUAUCAGGGCCGAGUCGAGAAGUCAUUUCCUGCAAAUGGAUGAAACGUUAGAAUCGCAACAUUAUACUUUGAAUUCAAUAACACGUGAUGAGAUAGAUGAAUUACCUGAAAAUAAGAAGCCAUAUACUGCGUCAGCUGUCCGACCUGCUCCUGCGCUGCUCGAGCUUGCUGCUGUGCUGCUCGAGCCUGCUCCUGUGCUGCUCGAGUCUCCUCCUCCACCUAAGCCUCUCGAGCAGACCUAGAGGAGCGAGAACUCCCUUGACCUAUUGUCCUGUUAUACUCCACAACGCCGGUGCCAAAGGCAAACCUGCAUGAUACACAUAGUUGAGCCAUUAAGUGGACAUAUUCUUGUUAAUGAAAUUGUCGAAUCAAACACAAACACCUCACCUGCCAUGCUUUCUACCCCCACCACUGUGGUACAACGCCGAGGCAUCUAAGUCCGAAUGCAUCCAGUCGAAGUCAGGCCCAUGGCGUUGAAUCAUUUCCUCCCCAUAUGCAUUCUGCAAAGAAAGUUAGAGUUGGAGUUAGACACAAAACAUGCAAUUUAAUUCAUAAAUACAAACUUGUUUACCAUUUUCUCCCUUGCCGCCUCGCUGCAUAGCACAUCAGGGUUCACCGGAUCAGGGCCACGGUGACCACGAACGUAAACCUCCAUAAAACUUGGAGCAACUACACUUUCAGCUUCCUGCAUGAAAAAGAAGAGUUAAACCAUAGAAUUUUCAUAGAUGUAACAUACAAGUUUGAUUUACAUACUUACCAUGCGGCGUGCGGUACCAAGGUGUCCAUCGGCGCCGUACCUGUGCCCCAGUCCUUCAGUGCCACGGUUGGCACGGUGCUUCUGGGACUCUGCAAUCCACUUAGGCGACGCCCAUCUCUUAGCCAACCACCUCCAGGCUUCCAUGUCCUUCGCAAGCCAAUCCACAACGCUCUCCAGGUACUACUCCUCUGUGAGGUAGAUCUCAUUGGCCCCUUUUAUCGAUGUUUCAGACUAUUCAGGACAGACAGGAUACUCUACAGCAGCAGCUUCUGGCAGACCGCCAAGUAAGAAGUGUAGAACAAUUAGCUCAUAAGGACCGCCAUUGUAUAACCAUUCAUCAACAGAUGCAGCUUCCCAAAUUGGGUAAAAAUGCAAUCCGAUCGCCGCAGAAGUAGGAAUAAUAGCACCAGAGAUAAUAUUGUUUCCAUAAAGUAAAGAACCAGAAACAGGCUCACGAAUACCAUCAAUAUCUACUGGAGGAGCAGCGAUGAAGGCGAUAAUAUAUACGGAAGUUGUGGUCAAUAAGGUAGGGAUCAUCAAAACACCAAACCAUCCAAUGUAAAGACGGUUUUCGGUGCUAGUUAUCUAGUUGCAGAAGCGACCCCACAGGCUUGUACUUUCGCGUCUCUCUAAAAUUGCAGUCAUGGUAAGGUCUUGGUUUAUUCAAAUUGCAAGGACUGGGCUGAGAACAGGGCCUUCAUGACUCUCAUGCUUUAGCAUACCGGUGUUCCAAUUCCCCUAGUUCAAUCAGCACCGCCUCCACCUCUUCAGGCUGUUGUUGUGCCAGCCAUUCAGGCAGGACCUCCUCUUCCUACAGUUGGUCCUUCUUCCUCUCCGCUCCGACCGAUCACCCUGGUUUUCUCGUCGUCGGUCAUCAGCUUCGUCAGCACUCAACCGCCAGUGCCCCCAGCUCCUGCUGUUACCACUACUGUUGUGGCGGUAUCUGUGACCUCUUCAGCUCCGGCAGCUCCUGCAGCAUAGCCUCCGUCCGAGUCAGUACCAGCUCCAGCUUCUAUGGCAGAUCCUGGAUCUGAGACUGACUCUGACCCGUAGCUGGCAUUCGCUCUUCUGCCACGACCACGACCGGAUGCGCCCCCGCCACCUCCUUCCUCUUCUGGUGUGUAGGUUUGAGUUCCCUUUUGGUGUUUGACGCCAAAGGGGGAGAGAUAUGUGAGUUGUGAGAGCUAGGGGGAGUUAGGGAGUUAGUAGAGAGUCAUUUUGAUGUAAUAUAUGUGCUCGUUACUCUCUGUACUAGCUCCACUUUUGUAUGAUGAUUUUGGCUCACAAACUCUAUUAUAUACUCUCAAUGCUUAGGUUGACUACGUGUGCAUUAUGUUUUCACAUUAUAUGUUAUCACCAGUCUUCUAGUUCUUGUUCAUCGAUUUGAUUUCACUUUUAUAUGAACAAGAAACUUACGAUGUGUAUGCGCUCAUUCCUAUUACUAUGUUACACACUCUUUCUGUCAAAGACUAUUGAGUACAACUAACCAUCUUUUCUAUUGACAGAAAUUUCAAAAACAAACUACUCUCACAAACCUUGUAGGGUUAUCAUCAAUCACCAAAAAGAGGGAGAUUGAAAGCAUCUAGGCCCCUCACUACAGGAAACGCAUAAAUUUUCAUGGGCCAAAAACCCACGAAAAUAAGGGUAAACCGACGAAAAAAGUCUAUUUUUGUCGGCAUGCCGACGAAAAUAGCCGCCGAAAAUAAAUUCGACGAAAAUGCACAACUAGGCUUAAGCCAGCUUCGAGCUUCGGAAACCCCAUGCUUCUAGACAUCUCCCGGCAGACGGACAAUUCUUUAUUGUCUGGGAGGCAGUAUAGGAAAUCCUCUUCGUCCGUCCCAUUGAAUACUAGUGCCCCCUUCGGAUAUUUUAAUUCUUUGGCAUAGUGAUUAGCUUCAAAAACUUCUUCUUCCAAUAACUUUUUCCCUGAAGCAUGACGCACAAUAUAAUCGUAUAUUUUGGAAGAUGCUUCGGGGACAGCAGUAUCAAUUUCUUCGACCAAAAUAGGCUCUAACAUUUUUAUUUCUUUAGUCGCCUUUUCAAUUCUUGCUUCUUCUGCUUCCAAAGGUAUUACCUUGGUUGGUUCUGAAGGCUCAGUUUCAACUACAGUCUGUUGCUUUGGAGCCUUAGCAACGGAUACUUCCACAGGCGCCUCUGAAGUUUCAGCAGUCUUCUUUGGAGUUGUGCUUGGAAGUUUAAUUGUCUCCAAAACAUCCAACACAUUGACCAUUCUUUUUUCUUUUUGGGGUCACUGUUGGCCCCUUUUUUCUUGCUACUUCAAUUUCUACUGAAGGACUUAAAAUUUCUGAUAUUUUUGCUCCCUCAGUUGAUGCUUUUGCUUCUUCCAUCUUUUCUGUCGAUGGUGCUUCACCAUCUCUUUGGUUUCUGGUAACAGAAUCUUUGGUUCAUCCAAUUCCUUUGUUGUUGGCGCUUCGGCCAUUCCUGCGACUUCUGGCAGCAGGGUUGGCUCUUCAGCCUCGGUGGCCGGAGAAGUCUCUCCGGUGAAUUCAGGCACCGUGGCUGGUUCAAUAUAGCAUGGCCGAUGUGUGAGAACUUUUAUCCUCUUUCUCUUCGGUGCUGGCUCACUAGGAGCAGCUGCAGCUUUUUCUUUCGCAGAAGUUGUGCCUUUUCUUUUUUGCCCUCGUAUUGGAUAGCGAUAGUCGGGGUAGACGAACCCGAUUGCAUCAAAUACCCGGUUGAGUCUUUUCCUUUUUCGGCCUCCGAAGGCCGCUUACAAAGCAGUAUCUUCGGCCUUCGAGUAUGCCCCAAGCAAUUCAUCACUUACAGUCUCAAUGCUCUUUAACCAAUCAUCAUCUGGUUCAACGAAUUUGUCUCCAUACUUGAAUGUGUACCUUAGCCGGACUAGCCAACCUUCGUCAGUUUCUUUAAUAGUUUCUUUCGGCAUUUCCCAAUUAUCCGCAAGAGGCCACACUCUGAAGGCAAUAUGUUCUUGUGUUAAAUCCCUCGUCCCAAUAAAAGAGCAAACAACUCCGAAGGCUCUCUGGCAUUCUUCGGCUGCUUCAUUCAUUUCCACCUUCGGCCUUCGCAGGCUGAAGCGUUGCCAGAUGGGAUGCAUAAUGAUCUUCUUUACAUCUUCUCGAGAUUUCAAGUCAUUUUUCACGUAAAACCAUUCCGUCAUCCAGUCGCCAGGCCACCUCUUGCGAAAGGUCGGCACUGGGCAGCUUGACCCAGAACGAGAGCCGAAGCUAUAACAGCCAAAGUUGUUGUGAUAUUGUUCCUUACCCCAGGGUUUUGUCUCGUAUAACAAUUCGUGUAUAUUGUAGAAGCUCUUUGCAUCAGGUUCCAAGCCUUGGCUCCUCACAGCCCACACGAAAAUAUUCAUCCUUAUGAUCGCUUCGGGGAUAAGUUGGUGAAGGUGGAUUUCAAAUAUCUUCAGCACCUCCACAACAAAACGGCUCAGGGGAAAUCGUAGUCCAGCUUUCAAGAAGCUUCGAAAUACUACAACUUCAUUUUCCUCAGGAGUUGGGCAAGUCUUCUCUCCCUCGUCGGCCCUUACAAUAGACAAAUCCCGGAAAUAUCUUCCCCUCAUGUUGGCAAGAUGACUUUCUUUAAUACUUGAUUUGCCGAAAACCGCAUGGCUUCGUCGCCAAGGUCGAUCUUCGGAGUCUUCGCCACCACUAUCCGCAUCAUAGCUGUCGCUAUCACCAGUAUCUUCAGAUAAACCUUCCAAAAUUUCUUUAGUGAUCUUCUCUGUAUUAGUCUUCGACAUAGAUUGAAGAAAACCCAGAUGCAUCUCUUCAGAAAGACUCAGCUUCAUUUCGGCAACAACCUUCUUCUCCUCAGACAUCUCUUCGGAAUUCUUGCCUCUCGCUUCCGAAGCUUAAUACUAGGGAGGCAACAAAAUAUUUGUGGCCAGAAAAUUAUUUGAGCAGGCAAAACAGAUGGCAAGGGAGUGUGCCGAAUAAAUUGUGGCGAGCCCGUAUUUACAAACCCAUUAUGUCGGAGACUGGAGGGCCCCAUUUGCCAAUGACUGUUGCUAUUCUAGCAAAAGGAAGGUGUUUUUUCGGACCUUCGGCUUAUAGCCUUCGUCCAUUUCGCAAUCUGAAUUCAUCAUUCUGACAAAUUAAUAUUGCGAGGGGCUACUGUUGGGGGCCUUCGGCUUCCGAAGGUCCUCAAAAACAUGUUUUAACAAUGUUUCUGGAGUAAAGUACGUUAACAGGUACCUUCGGAUUCGGAUCAGAGCCACGGUACGAAGAAGCACAAAGGUUGGCGCAGAGCCGAAGCUGUGUGUAGAAGAGCUUCAGAGUAGCGGUGGAAAAGGAAACCGACUUAAAGAUGAAAAACCAGAUUAGACCUCGAAGAGUUAUCAUAGAGUUAUUGAUAAAUGUAAAGGGCAUUAUUGUAAUUUUCCAUGGGCUGCGACCCGUGCCUAUAAAUAGGUGAACAGUAUCCCCGUACUGUUCACGCUGAUUCGACAUUGGCUUUGGCAUCACACUUGUGCUUCUACCUUCUUUACGAGCUGAAGGUACACUUAUAAUUUAAUAUUAUCUUUAUCUUUCCAUCAUAAUAAAAUGGAAAUGAUUCGACAACAUUAAACAACUGUUUAUGUUAUCUUCAUGUUUCAUAUGAUCCUUUCUUCAUUAUUAUAUUUUAUGCUGAUGAAGGUAUGUCCUUCAUAACCUUCGCCCGAAAAUCAUUAUAUCCUUAAGGAAAUAAUGCUUAGAAGGACGAAGGAUAUUAAUAUUUAACAUUUUGUGUUGCCUUGUUCUUGAUCCAUAGCAUUUGAGAACAAGUCACCAACAAAUACAGAAUUCACAAACCACAUCCACAAUCAAUACCAUAAUUGUUUCAAACCACAAUCACAUCCAUAAUAAAGUCCAUACAUAGUCCAUAGACAAACUCACUCAUGGCAAGUCUCACUCCUGCGGGCUGUGGGAGUUUUGGCCACUCCCUCCUCCGCCACCAGGAAGGUGGCCACUCCCUCCGGAACCAUGGACGAGGUAGUCUUGGACGUUGACAGCACCCUCCGAUCCCUGAGCAUGUGACACUGAACCCUGCAAUUCAUCAAUCAUUCAAAUAAGGUUGUGUUUUGCUAUCCAUAUACCUAUACAUUGCUAUGUUUGGUCACUAUUUGCAUAAAACUAAACAUGGAACGUCACCUGUGAUCCAUUGUGCUGAGGAGGCUGUGCAUGCAUCCAUGGGUAAUGUUGUGCUGGCCACCCCUGGGGUGGUGGCACCCACCCCGGCGGUGGCGGUGCCAUCCACGCUUGAAGUGGCUGAGAGCCCGGCAGUGGCUGGGAGACCGGUGGCACCCAUCCCGGGGUUGGCUGCGAUCCCUGGGGUGGUGGAGCCGUCCAAGUGCCUGGAGGUGCCUGCGUCCACCCAACACCGGUCCACAGUGGCUGCGACGCUGGAGCUAGCUGAGAUCCCUGGAGUGGUGGCGUAAAUGGCUGCAACUCUGGAGCUUGUCCUGGCCACUGUCCCCAUCCUUGUGCCUACGAGCCAUUUUUUAUAAUAAAAAAGAGUUGCUAUGGAAUUGAAGUGUUCAGAUAGUGUUACCUGGGGAGGGCAAAAAGCGGGCAAGUUCAUAUCAGGGCCGAGUCGAGAAGUCAUUUCCUGCAAAUGGAUGAAACGUUAGAAUCGCAACAUUAUACUUUGAAUUCAAUAACACGUGAUGAGAUAGAUGAAUUACCUGAAAAUAAGAAGCCAUAUACUGCGUCAGCUGUCCGACCUGCUCCUGCGCUGCUCGAGCUUGCUGCUGUGCUGCUCGAGCCUGCUCCUGUGCUGCUUGAGUCUCCUCCUCCACCUAAGCCUCUCGAGCAGACCUAGAGGAGCGAGAACUCCCUUGACCUAUUGUCCUGUUAUACUCCACAACGCCGGUGCCAAAGGCAAACCUGCAUGAUACACAUAGUUGAGCCAUUAAGUGGACAUAUUCUUGUUAAUGAAAUUGUCGAAUCAAACACAAACACCUCACCUGCCAUGCUUUCUACCCCCACCACUAUGGUACAACGCCGAGGCAUCUAAGUCCGAAUGCAUCCAGUCGAAGUCAGGCCCAUGGCGUUGAGUCAUUUCCUCCCCAUAUGCAUUCUGCAAAGAAAGUUAGAGUUGGAGUUAGACACAAAACAUGCAAUUUAAUUCAUAAAUACAAACUUGUUUACCAUUUUCUCCCUUGCCGCCUCGCUGCAUAGCACAUCAGGGUUCACCGGAUCAGGGCCACGGUGACCACGAACGUAAACCUCCAUAAAACUUGGAGCAACUACACUUUCAGCUUCCUGCAUGAAAAAGAAGAGUUAAACCAUAGAAUUUUCAUAGAUGUAACAUACAAGUUUGAUUUACAUACUUACCAUGCGGCGUGCGGUACCAAGGUGUCCAUCGGCGCCGUACCUGUGCCCCGGUCCUUCAGUGCCACGGUUGGCACGGUGCUUCUGGGACUCUGCAAUCCACUUAGGCGACGCCCAUCUCUUAGCCAACCACCUCCAGGCUUCCAUGUCCUUCGCAAGCCAAUCCACAACGCUCUCCAGGUACUACUCCUCUGUGAGGUAGAUCUCAUUGGCCCCUUUUAUCGAUGUUUCAGACUAUUCAGGACAGACAGGAUACUCUACAGCAGCAGCUUCUGGCAGACCGCCAAGUAAGAAGUGUAGAACAAUUAGCUCAUAAGGACCGCCAUUGUAUAACCAUUCAUCAACAGAUGCAGCUUCCCAAAUUGGGUAAAAAUGCAAUCCGAUCGCCGCAGAAGUAGGAAUAAUAGCAUCAGAGAUAAUAUUGUUUCCAUAAAGUAAAGAACCAGAAACAGGCUCACGAAUACCAUCAAUAUCUACUGGAGGAGCAGCGAUGAAGGCGAUAAUAUAUACGGAAGUUGUGGUCAAUAAGGUAGGGAUCAUCAAAACACCAAACCAUCCAAUGUAAAGACGGUUUUCGGUGCUAGUUAUCCAGUUGCAGAAGCGACCCCACAGGCUUGUACUUUCGCGUCUCUCUAAAAUUGCAGUCAUGGUAAGGUCUUGGUUUAUUCAAAUUGCAAGGACUGGGCUGAGAACAGGGCCUUCAUGACUCUCAUGCUUUAGCAUACCGGUGUUCCAAUUCCCCUAGUUCAAUCAGCACCGCCUCCACCUCUUCAGGCUGUUGUUGUGCCAGCCAUUCAGGCAGGACCUCCUCUUCCUACAGUUGGUCCUUCUUCCUCUCCGCUCCGACCGAUCACCCUGGUUUUCUCGUCGUCGGUCAUCAGCUCCGUCAGCACUCAGCCGCCAGUGCCCCCAGCUCCUGCUAUUACCACUACUGUUGUGGCGGUAUCUGUGACCUCUUCAGCUCCGGCAGCUCCUGCAGCAUAGCCUCCGUCCGAGUCAGUACCAGCUCCAGCUUCUAUGGCAGAUCCUGGAUCUGAGACUGACUCUGACCGGUAGCUAGCAUUCGCUCUUCUGCCACGACCACGACCGGAUGCGCCCCCGCCACCUCCUUCCUCUUCUGGUGUGUAGGUUUGAGUUCCCUUUUGGUGUUUGACGCCAAAGGGGGAGAGAUAUGUGAGUUGUGAGAGCUAGGGGGAGUUAGGGAGUUAGUAGAGAGUCAUUUUGAUGUAAUAUAUGUGCUCGUUACUCUCUGUACUAGCUCCACUUUUGUAUGAUGAUUUUGGCUCACAAACUCUAUUAUAUACUCUCAAUGCUUAGGUUGACUACGUGUGCAUUAUGUUUUCACAUUAUAUGUUAUCACCAGUCUUCUAGUUCUUGUUCAUCGAUCUGAUUUCACUUUUAUAUGAACAAGAAACUUACGAUGUGUAUGCGCUCAUUCCUAUUACUAUGUUACACACUCUUUCUGUCAAAGACUAUUGAGUACAACUAACCAUCUUUUCUAUUGACAGAAAUUUCAAAAACAAACUACUCUCACAAACCUUGUAGGGUUAUCAUCAAUCACCAAAAAGAGGGAGAUUGAAAGCAUCUAGGCCCCUCACUACAGGAAACGCAUAAAUUUUCAUGGGCCAAAAACCCACGAAAAUAAGCGUAAACCGACGAAAAAAGUCUAUUUUCGUCGGCAUGCCGAUGAAAAUAGCCGCCGAAAAUAAAUUCGACGAAAAUGCACAACUAUUUUCGUCGGUACCGACGUUAAUGACUUAUUUUCGUCGGCUUCCCCAAGGCCGACGAAAAUAGGUGCUGCAGCGGGGUAUUUUCGUUGGCCACCGUGGCCGACGAAAAUAGGGCGCUUUAUUUUCGUCGGCUUCCACGUGCCCACGAAAAUACCUGGUCGGGAGCUAUCUUCGGCCUGCAUGUAUUUUCGUCGGCCUUCGUGCAGGCCGACGAAAAUUCAUGGUACCCCCCCCCAAAACAGAUUUUUCUGCACCUUGUAAUUCAUAGCAAAAUACACAUAAUCCACAAUCACAUAUACAAUAAACAAUUUCAAUACUGUUGGGGGCCUUCGGCUUCCGAAGGUCCUCAAAAACAUGUUUUAACAAUGUUUCUGGAGUAAAGUACGUUAACAGGUACCUUCGGAUUCGGAUCAGAGCCACGGUACGAAGAAGCACAAAGGUUGGCGCAGAGCCGAAGCUGUGUGUAGAAGAGCUUCGGAGUAGCGGCGGAAAAGGAAACCGAGUUAUUGAUAAAUGUAAAGGGCAUUAUUGUAAUUUUCCAUGGGCUGCGACCCGUGCCUAUAAAUAGGUGAACAGUAUCCCCGUACUGUUCACGCUGAUUCGACAUUGGCUUUGGCAUCACACUUGUGCUUCUACCUUCUUUACGAGCUGAAGGUACACUUAUAAUUUAAUAUUAUCUUUAUCUUUCCAUCAUAAUAAAAUGGAAAUGAUUCGACAACAUUACACAACUGUUUAUGUUAUCUUCAUGUUUCAUAUGAUCCUUUCUUCAUUAUUAUAUUUUAUGCUGAUGAAGGUAUGUCCUUCAUAACCUUCGCCCGAAAAUCAUUAUAUCCUUAAGGAAAUAAUGCUUAGAAGGACGAAGGAUAUUAAUAUUUAACAUUUUGUGUUGCCUUGUUCUUGAUCCAUAGCAUUUGAGAACAAGUCACCAACAUUGGCACCCACCUCCGGUGAACUCACUUCCAUUUUUUGAGUCUUGAACACUUUCGGCAAGCAUCACCUUCGUCAUGCCGCCGAAAAAAGCUUCAGCAGCAGGGGCUGGUACUUUACAGCCGCUGGAUCCCAAUCAGGAUGUCCUUUCUCUUAGAGAGGCCCGAAGCCAGAAGAGGAAGGCUGUUAGUCCAACACCUCCGGAGGAUGCCCUGGAUCAGGAGAUCCAAAACCUAGAAAUCCUUCAGCAACAGGUGCAACGCAAGAAGGAGAAGAUGGCUCGUCUAGCUGAUCUUCAGAUACAGAUAGACGAAGCUUCUGAAGAGGUUCGUCAUCUUGUUCAAGAUGAUCAAAGCCGAAGGCCUCCACGCAGAGAGCUUCAUCAGGAAGGCUUCCACAAUGAGGAUGACUGGUAUGAAGAUUUUCAUCAUGGAAACUUUGCUUUUGAUGAUGCUUCUCCUCUCUCAACAGAAUUGCAGGCUACACCAUGGCCUCAGUCCUACAAGCCACCCCAGCUCCCCAUGUAUGACGGUCAUACAGACCCCAAGCAAUUCCUGAUGAGCUACGAAGCGACCAUAUCUUCGUAUGGUGGCAAUACGGCAGUCAUGGCAAAAUCUUUUGUCAUGGCCGUCAGGAGCGUUGCUCAGACUUGGUACUCUUCUCUUCGGCCAGGGACAAUCACUUCUUGGCAGAAAUUGAAGGAUAUGCUGGUAACUAGCUUCCAAGGGUUUCAGACGAAGCCAGUCACCGCUCAGGCUCUCUUCCAGUGUACCCAGGACCAUGAAGAGUACCUUCAGGCGUAUGUCCGGAGGUUUCUGCGUCUGAGGGCACAAGCGCCAACAGUGCCCAAUGAAAUUGUCAUUGAGGCCAUGAUUAAGGGGCUUCGGCCGGGACCAUCAGCGCAGUACUUUGCCAGGAAGCCACCACAAACGUUGGAGAAGCUGCUCCAGAAGAUGGAUGAAUACAUUCGAGCUGACAAUGACUUCCGCCAAAGAAGGGAGGAAGCAUUCAGGUUCUCUGAAAUGACCAGGGGCUUCAGAGGAAGAUUUCACCCGAGGCAUGUUAGGUCAAUCCAUAACUCUGCUCAAACUGAUGAUCGAGGGAGCCAGCAGCAAAGGCCACAACACUCUUCACAAGCUUCGGCCCAACAGCAGAGUUCUUUUCGGCCGCCAGCGCCAAGGGGCAGAGGCGCCACGGGCUUCAGGGGAAGGUUUGGAGACCAGCCAAGAAAAAUAUAUUGCCUAUUCUGUGGUGAAGACAAGGGCCAUACUACCAGGAUGUGCCAUGUUACCAUCCAGAAGCAGAAGGAAAUAGCGGAAGCAGCAGCGCAACAGAGUCAGCCGAAGCAGGUCAUGCAUACUGCUUCGUAUCACUCACCUUACAUUCCAGAAUAUGUAGGCAACCACCCUGCAGCUUCUGUUGCUUCGGCGAGCCAACCCCAAGCAUCUUGGCAGCAACCUCCACCGCCACCGCCGAUCCAGCGAGGGCAACAGCCAGAAGGGAGCCAGCACAAUCAUCUUCAGAGGGAUUUCAGAGAAGAGUCUGAAGCUCGCACAGUCAACAGCACUGUGCCAGAAUCGAAGCACAUUUAUUGACAAAUAUCCUACCUCAACAGCAGUUCUUUUGCAUUUUCUACAUACGCUGUUACCCUUUUGUCAAUAAGGAACAAUUAUGAAGAGUUUAAAUAUCUUUAAUUGAUUUUCAAUUUCUUGUCAUACUUUCGUCUUUUACCAUAAUAAAAAUAUGUUUUUUCCAUAGGCUUGAGUUGCCGAAGCAUGCGAACUUAUACUGAUUUGAAGGACCUUCGUAUUAUCAAAAAUUUGAUCCAACGGACAUAGUACAAAUUGUUCGAAGCAGUAAAAAGUCGUUCCUAAGGGAGCGCAGUGUAAGUUUUCUAAACAUACAGCGAAAAAUAAACGCUGAUUCCGCUGAAAGUAAAAGGCGAAGAAGCUCCUAAGGGAGGCUUACAGUGAAAAAUAAACGCUGAUUCCGCUGAAAGUAAAAGGCGAAGAAGCUCCUAAGGGAGGCUUACAGCGAAAAAUAAACGCUGAUUCCGCUGAAAGUAAAAGGCGAAAAAGCUCCUAAGGGAGGCUUACAGCGAAAAGUCAGCGCUGAUAUAAAAAGUGUGUGUGCUUUAUUACAGGGAUAUGUAUCUGCGGCACAAAUAUCAUUUUGCAUAACAUAACAUCAUCACAUCAUCUUUGCAUAACAUAAGCAUCAUACAGCAUACUGCACCUGGAACAAGAAGGGGAUACAGUGUUGACCUUUGGAACAUAUUUUGGAAAAGAGAAAAUCGUGCUAAGGCACAAGAUAAAUCGAGAUGAAGUGUAGCUUCAUCGGAAACGCAACACAAAACUUUUUUACAGCUUCGAAGAAUAUUUCACGAAGCUUGGACAUUUUUCAGAGAAGUAAGCAAAUUCUUAUGGUAUAGAAAGGAUUUUCUUCACGAAGCAUGAAAAGAAGGGAAGGUGUUUUUUUCGCCGAAGGCUCAAAAAAUGGUAUGUAUGCAGAGUUUCAUGCAUCGUAAAGAAUUAAACUAUAAAUAGAUUGUAUAUUACAUUAAAAGUUACAAUAUAUUACACAUUUUUACGUCUCAAAUGUUUCUACAAUAACAUUCAAUCCUCUUUAAGCACUAUCUCUGCAGCUUCAUUCAAUAGUUGGUUGACAACCUUGUCCAUAAUGGCUUCGGCCAUUUUUCUAAUUUCAUCGUCCCCCUUCGGAUGGGGGCCCGCAGAUGCCUCAGCAGCUUCUGAGGGAAGAAAAGAUACGGCUACAUUACUAUUACAAACCGAGAACAGAGUCUGGAAUUAAAAAUUACAGCAUGAUAAAAACCACUAAUUAAUACCUAUGCGCCCUUCGGGCUCUGUACUUUCCUCGGCAGCUUCUGCUACUUUUCUAGCAUCGUGAAUGCCUUUUUCACUCCUUUGAAUAAUUUCUUGCGCCAAUUCUCGGCUGCCGUUAUCCCAGAUAUCGGUGAAGAAUUUCCCGCCGACCAUGCUUGCUUCGGGUGAGGGGUCUUUAAUGUCUUCAAUAGAUAAUGUAGCUUCGGACUGCGCUAAGGAUUUUACAUGCUCACAGCCUUUCUUCUCCAAAACAGUAGCAAUCCCUCUAGCACCCGAAAAAGCGCAGAUGUCGCCGCGACUGUUCAGAAUUUCCUCGAAGGCCUCUGCUUCGUGACUGAUCCAUUCCAUUGGACCUUCAGGAUUGCCUCUUGAAAAAUUCUCUUCACUAGAGAACGCGCCAACGCUGGCGAAGCUGGAUUUUAUCUUUUUGACGCACUCUAUGGAUUUAACAUAACAUUUCCUCUGGGAUGCACGAAGCUCCUUAACACUUAUCUCCAAAUGAUUGGCCAAUUGGUCACUAAGCUCUCGUUUUGUCUCUUCAAGUAUACGUUCUUCUUUAGCUCUAGCUAGCUGUUUCUGAAGAUCUUUAAUUUCACGUUUUUGAGCUUCGGCCUGGGCCUUCGAAGCAGCUUUGUCCUUUCUUACCUUGUCUAUCAAUGUAAGCAGAAUUUUAUCUUUUUCCAGAGCUUCGUUUCUCAGUUUAAUAACUUCUGAUCGUAGAUUGUUGAACGCAAUUUCAUAGCUCUCGUCCUCGGCACUCUUUUGUGCUCUCAAUGCGUUGCUUAGAAUUAAACCCUAUAUGAAAAAGAGUUUGUAUAAGAAUAAAAGAAUGAGUUACGAAUUAAAAAGUUUCCAAACGACUAAUUCCCAUACCUUCAGGCUAUUGUACGCAAGACUAUCCGCGAGAUCUUCUUUCGUCAUAGCGCUUAAGCCAGCUUCGAGCUUCGGAAACCCCAUGCUUCUAGACAUCUCCCGGCAGACGGACAAUUCUUUAUUGUCUGGGAGGCAGUAUAGGAAAUCCUCUUCGUCCGUCCCAUUGAAUACUAGUGCCCCCUUCGGAUAUUUUAAUUCUUUGGCAUAGUGAUUAGCUUCAAAAACUUCUUCUUCCGAUAACUUUUUCCCUGAAGCAUGACGCACAAUAUAAUCGUAUAUUUUGGAAGAUGCUUCGGGGACAGCGGUAUCAAUUUCUUCGACCAAAAUAGGCUCUGACAUUUUUAUUUCUUUAGUCGCCUUUUCAAUUCUUGCUUCUUCUGCUUCCAAAGGUAUUACCUUGGUUGGUUCUGAAGGCUCAGUUUCAACUACAGUCUGUUGCUUCGGAGCCUUAGCAACGGAUACUUCCACAGGCGCCUCUGAAGUUUCAGCAGUCUUCUUUGGAGUUGUGCUUGGAAGUUUAAUUGUCUCCAAAACAUCCAACACAUUGACCAUUCUUUUUCUUUUUGGGGUCACUAUUGGCCCCUUUUUUCUUGCUACUUCAAUUUCUACUGAAGGACUUAAAAUUUCUGAUAUUUUUGCUCCCUCAGUUGAUGCUUUUGCUUCUUCCAUCUUUUCUGUCGAUGGUGCUUCGGCCAUCUCUUUGGUUUCUGGUAACAGAAUCUUUGGUUCAUCCAAUUCCUUUGUUGUUGGCGCUUCGGCCAUUCCUGCGACUUCUGGCAGCAGGGUUGGCUCUUCAGCCUCGAUGGCCGGAGAAGUCUCUCCGGUGAAUUCAGGCACCGUGGCUGGUUCAAUAUAGCGUGGCCGAUGUGUGAGAACUUUUAUCCUCUUUCUCUUCGGUGCUGGCUCACUAGGAGCAGCUGCAGCUUUUUCUUUCGCAGAAGUUGUGCCUUUUCUUUUUUGCCCUCGUAUUGGAUAGCGAUAGUCGGGGUAGACGAACCCGAUUGCAUCAAAUACCCGGUUGAGUCUUUUCCUUUUUCGGCCUCCGAAGGCCGCUAACAAAGCAGUAUCAUCGGCCUUCGAGUAUGCCCCAAGCAAUUCAUCACUUACAGUCUCAAUGCUCUUUAACCAAUCAUCAUCCGGUUCAACGAAUUUGUCUCCAUACUUGAAUGUGUACCUUAGCCGGACUAGCCCACCUUCGUCGGUUUCUUUAAUAGUUUCUUUCGGCAUUUCCCAAUUAUCCGCAAGAGGCCACACUCUGAAGGCAAUAUGUUCUUGUGUUAAAUCCCUCGUCCCAAUAAAAGAGCAAACAACUCCGAAGGCUCUCUGGCAUUCUUCGGCUGCUUCAUUCAUUUCCACCUUCGGCCUUCGCAGGCCAAAGCGUUGCCAGAUGGGAUGCAUAAUGAUCUUCUUUACAUCUUCUCGAGAUUUCAAGUCAUUUUUCACGUAAAACCAUUCCGUCAUCCAGUCGCCAGGCCACCUCUUGCGAAAGGUCGGCACUGGGCAGCUUGACCCAGAACGGAGCCGAAGCUAUAACAGCCAAAGUUGUUGUGAUAUUGUUCCUUACCCCAGGGUUUUGUCUCGUAUAACAAUUCGUGUAUAUUGUAGAAGCUCUUUGCAUCAGGUUCCAAGCCUUGGCUCCUCACAGCCCACACGAAAAUAUUCAUCCUUAUGAUCGCUUCGGGGAUAAGUUGGUGAAGGUGGAUUUCAAAUAUCUUCAGCACCUCCACAACAAAACAGCUCAGGGGAAAUCGUAGUCCAGCUUUCAAGAAGCUUCGAAAUACUACAACUUCAUUUUCCUCAGGAGUUGGGCAAGUCUUCUCUCCCUCGUUGGCCCUUACAAUAGACAAAUCCCGGAAAUAUCUUCCCCUCAUGUUGGCAAGAUGACUUUCUUUAAUACUUGAUUUGCCGAAAACUGCAUGGCUUGGUCGCCAAGGUCGAUCUUCGGAGUCUUCGCCACCACUAUCCGCAUCAUAGUUGUCGCUAUCACCAGUAUCUUCAGAUAAACCUUCCAAAAUUUCUUUAGUGAUCUUCUCUGUAUUAGUCUUCGACAUAGAUUGAAGAAAACCCAGAUGCAUCUCUUCAGAAAGACUCAGCUUCAUUUCGGCAACAACCUUCUUCUCCUCAGACAUCUCUUCGGAAUUCUUGCCUCUCGCUUCCGAAGCUUAAUACUAGGGAGGCAACAAAAUAUUUGUGGCCAGAAAAUUAUUUGAGCAGGCAAAACAGAUGGCAAGGGAGUGUGCCGAAUAAAUUGUGGCGAGCCCGUAUUUAUAAACCCAUUAUGUCGGAGACUGGAGGGCCCCAUUUGCCAAUGACUGUUGCUAUUCUAGCAAAAGGAAGGUGUUUUUCGGACCUUCGGCUUAUAGCCUUCGUCCAUUUCGCAAUCUGAAUUCAUCAUUCUGACAAAUUAAUAUUGCGAGGGGCUACUGUUGGGGGCCUUCGGCUUCCAAAGGUCCUCAAAAACAUGUUUUAACAAUGUUUCUGGAGUAAAGUACGUUAACAGGUACCUUCGGAUUCGGAUCAGAGCCACGGUACGAAGAAGCACAAAGGUUGGCGCAGAGCCGAAGCUGUGUGUAGAAGAGCUUCGGAGUAGCGGUGGAAAAGGAAACUGACUUAAAGAUGAAAAACCAGAUUAGACCUCGAAGAGUUAUCAUAGAGUUAUUGAUAAAUGUAAAGGGCAUUAUUGUAAUUUUCCAUGGGCUGCGACCCGUGCCUAUAAAUAGGUGAACAGUAUCCCCGUACUGUUCACGCUGAUUCGACAUUGGCUUUGGCAUCACACUUGUGCUUCUACCUUCUUUACGAGCUGAAGGUACACUUAUAAUUUAAUAUUAUCUUUAUCUUUCCAUCAUAAUAAAAUGGAAAUGAUUCGACAACAUUACACAACUGUUUAUGUUAUCUUCAUGUUUCAUAUGAUCCUUUCUUCAUUAUUAUAUUUUAUGCUGAUGAAGGUAUGUCCUUCAUAACCUUCGCCCGAAAAUCAUUAUAUCCUUAAGGAAAUAAUGCUUAGAAGGACGAAGGAUAUUAAUAUUUAACAUUUUGUGUUGCCUUGUUCUUGAUCCAUAGCAUUUGAGAACAAGUCACCAACAAAUACAGAAUUCACAAACCACAUCCACAAUCAAUACCAUAAUUGUUUCAAACCACAAUCACAUCCAUAAUAAAGUCCAUACAUAGUCCAUAGACAAACUCACUCAUGGCAAGUCUCACUCCUGCGGGCUGUGGGAGUUUUGGCCACUCCCUCCUCCGCCACCAGGAAGGUGGCCACUCCCUCCGGAACCAUGGACGAGGUAGUCUUGGACGUUGACAGCACCCUCCGAUCCCUGAGCAUGUGACACUGAACCCUGCAAUUCAUCAAUCAUUCAAAUAAGGUUGUGUUUUGCUAUCCAUAUACCUAUACAUUGCUAUGUUUGGUCACUAUUUGCAUAAAACUAAACAUGGAACGUCACCUGUGAUCCAUUGUGCUGAGGAGGCUGUGCAUGCAUCCAUGGGUAAUGUUGUGCUGGCCACCCCUGGGGUGGUGGCACCCACCCCGGCGGUGGCGGUGCCAUCCACGCUUGAAGUGGCUGAGAGCCCGGCAGUGGCUGGGAGACCGGUGGCACCCAUCCCGGGGUUGGCUGCGAUCCCUGGGGUGGUGGAGCCGUCCAAGUGCCUGGAGGUGCCUGCGUCCACCCAACACCGGUCCACAGUGGCUGCGACGCUGGAGCUAGCUGAGAUCCCUGGAGUGGUGGCGUAAAUGGCUGCAACUCUGGAGCUUGUCCUGGCCACUGUCCCCAUCCUUGUGCCUGCGAGCCAUUUUUUAUAAUAAAAAAGAGUUGCUAUGGAAUUGAAGUGUUCAGAUAGUGUUACCUGGGGAGGGCAAAAAGCGGGCAAGUUCAUAUCAGGGCCGAGUCGAGAAGUCAUUUCCUGCAAAUGGAUGAAACGUUAGAAUCGCAACAUUAUACUUUGAAUUCAAUAACACGUGAUGAGAUAGAUGAAUUACCUGAAAAUAAGAAGCCAUAUACUGCGUCAGCUGUCCGACCUGCUCCUGCGCUGCUCGAGCUUGCUGCUGUGCUGCUCGAGCCUGCUCCUGUGCUGCUCGAGUCUCCUCCUCCACCUAAGCCUCUCGAGCAGACCUAGAGGAGCGAGAACUCCCUUGACCUAUUGUCCUGUUAUACUCCACAACGCCGGUGCCAAAGGCAAACCUGCAUGAUACACAUAGUUGAGCCAUUAAGUGGACAUAUUCUUGUUAAUGAAAUUGUCGAAUCAAACACAAACACCUCACCUGCCAUGCUUUCUACCCCCACCACUGUGGUACAACGCCGAGGCAUCUAAGUCCGAAUGCAUCCAGUCGAAGUCAGGCCCAUGGCGUUGAGUCAUUUCCUCCCCAUAUGCAUUCUGCAAAGAAAGUUAGAGUUGGAGUUAGACACAAAACAUGCAAUUUAAUUCAUAAAUACAAACUUGUUUACCAUUUUCUCCCUUGCCGCCUCGCUGCAUAGCACAUCAGGGUUCACCGGAUCAGGGCCACGGUGACCACGAACGUAAACCUCCAUAAAACUUGGAGCAACUACACUUUCAGCUUCCUGCAUGAAAAAGAAGAGUUAAACCAUAGAAUUUUCAUAGAUGUAACAUACAAGUUUGAUUUACAUACUUACCAUGCGGCGUGCGGUACCAAGGUGUCCAUCGGCGCCGUACCUGUGCCCCGGUCCUUCAGUGCCACGGUUGGCACGGUGCUUCUGGGACUCUGCAAUCCACUUAGGCGACACCCAUCUCUUAGCCAACCACCUCCAGGCUUCCAUGUCCUUCGCAAGCCAAUCCACAAUGCUCUCCAGGUACUACUCCUCUGUGAGGUAGAUCUCAUUGGCCCCUUUUGAUUUGCUCAUGUUCUGCCCCUUUAUCUUCUUGUAGUAGUAGUUGAUGGUCGUGAUGCACGCAUUGUACAUGGCAUCCUUGAUGAUCUUAUCAGCGCACUUCCGAAAGUGCCUCUUCACACGUGCCCACUGAGCCUGAUCCUCCUCAUUCUCCAAUUGGAACCUCUCCUACAUAUCAACGGAGAUGUUAAGUUAAAGUAAGAUUAUGAGAAGCAAUAAUUCAGUGAAUUGCUUAUAUACGAAAGUAAACUCACCCAGAACUCGUCCCACACAGCCACCUGACAAGUCCUUCAUCUUUGUUCCGAAGUUCCCCCUCC
RNAcentral lists this long non-coding RNA (49798 nucleotides) under Zea mays. Its description in RNAcentral is "long non-coding RNA (ZMAY_LNC001542)". Lineage: Eukaryota; Viridiplantae; Streptophyta; Magnoliopsida; Poales; Poaceae. The record is from RNAcentral.